This 65452-nucleotide long non-coding RNA is filed under the name Prunus persica (peach). RNAcentral's name for it is "long non-coding RNA (PPER_LNC007450)". The record is from RNAcentral. Lineage: Eukaryota; Viridiplantae; Streptophyta; Magnoliopsida; Rosales; Rosaceae.
AUUGCAGGGGGCUAGUGAUAAUGGUGAAGAUAAUUAUAAUGAUGAGGACUCAAAUUCACUAGGUAGUUGGAAAAACGGAGUUCAUGGGAUAUCUGAAUCCGACCCGGAAGCUUCUAGCAGUGGCUUGGCCCCUAAAUCCCCCUCUGUAGAGACUCAAAGUUCUCGAAUGUCGUGGGCCGAUAUGGCGCAGGAAGACGAGCUAGAGGAAGAGGAAGAGCGUGAAUUGAGUAAGCGGGUGGUGAAUGUAAAUGCCACAACUGGAGAGUUGAGGAUAACGAAGCCUACAUUGUCUAGGGAGCAGAGGGAGUACAUUAGGUUCAUGAAUGUAAAGAGGCAGAAAGAUUUUAUUUGUUUGGAGAGGGUCAAUGGGAAAUUUGCUAACAUUCUGGAGGGACUUGAGCUUCAUACUGGUAUCUUUAGUGCGGCGGAACAGAAGAGGAUAGUUGAUUUUGUUUAUUCGCUCCAAGAGAUGGGCAAGAAGGGUGAAUUGAAAGGUCAGUCUUUGCUUUUGGAAUGCCAAUACAGUGUGGUAUUCCUGUUGAUAUUUCUUGCUGUUUUUGGACAUUUGCUUUAUACAUCCAGUUUUUUAUAGGAGUUUUCUAUGUAUGCUAAUUUGAUACAUGAGCUUUAUGUACUAAAUUUCCAUACAUAGAAAAGCAUAAUGUUUUUAUUGCCUAGCUAGAAUGUAAGUAAAGACGUUCAAACUCUAUAACUAAGUUAACUUUGCAGGGUUAGAUCUUAUUACUUACUGCACAUAAUGUCUUUGGUUGCCUAUUAUAAAAUUAUAUUUGUUGUGGCCCUCAAGGUAUAUUUAGUAAUCAUUUUAGUUGUAAGUUGGCAAAAAUACUUUCUAUGUGGUAUAUGCCAGGAUAAGAUUCCCCCGCUGUUUUCUUGACGAGUUGUAAGUUAUCUUUAAUGUAUUGUUGAUACAGGAAAACAUACAAAAUUUAUUAUUUAGCUUAAACUUGUUUUUAUGCUAGUUAAUUCUGUUACAUGGAACUUUUAGUAUAUCCUUUUAAGUUUUUUUUUUCUUUUCUGAAUUUGAUUUCCAGUUCCAUUCUAAUAUAUUGAAUUUUUUUUUUUUCUUUUCUUAUUGGGAAAUGUAUAUACUGUUUGGCUAACCUAUUCUGAACUUGUUGCAGCGCGUACAUAUACAGCACCCCAAAAGUGGAUGAGGGGCAAGGGACGAGUAACCAUUCAGUUUGGUUGUUGCUACAAUUAUGCAGUGGUAUACUUUUCUGACUAUGGCAUCCAUAUCUGGUGACCUUAUAUCCUAUUUGACUAUUAAAUUUUGUAGAGAUCAGCUAAACUGUGAUUCUGGUGGAUAUCAGUAUAAUUACCGAAAUAUGCUCAAAGGAACUAUAAAGUGCUAGUCAUUUUAGAUGUUGCAUUGCAUCUGAUGUGCUAUGUUGGUUUCAGGAUAAAAAUGGUAAUCCACCUGGUAUCCUCCAGAAUGACGUAGUAGAUCCUAUACCUCCUCUUUUUAAGGUGAUCAUUAGGAGGCUGGUAAAGUGGCAUGUGCUUCCGCCGACCUGUGUACCUGAUAGUUGCAUUGUCAAUAUAUAUGAAGAAGGGGACUGUAUACCUCCGCAUGUUGACAACCAUGACUUCCUUCGACCUUUUUGUACUGUUUCAUUUCUUAGUGAGUGCGACAUACUUUUCGGAACAAACUUAAAGGUUAUUGGUGCUGGCGAGUUUGAUGGUUCAUUUGCAAUCCCCUUGCCUGUUGGGUACGUAUGCCAUCCAUAUUUGUGCCUGUGCAUUCUGUGCCCUUGUUUAGCCUCUACCCGUUGUUUUCAAUUACAUUUAUCCAUCACUCCUGUGUUUAGAAAUGUGGCUGUUUCGUCUGUUAUGCGAUUAGGGGCCGUGAUUUGAUGUUUGCUUGUGUGGCAUCCUCUUGUUUUUUGCCUUUUGCUGUUCCUUUGGUGUUUUGUUCUUGAGGCAGCAGUUUUCUCUUGUUUUGUGUUUUCUCUUGUGGAUCCCUUACCCACACCUUUUUUGUUUUGUUACCCUAUUUUGAAUAUAUCAUUUCUAUUUAUAUAAAAAAGGGCAUUUAUUUAUAUUAAAGUUUUAAUAUUUGCAUCAGCCUUUUCUUGGAUUCGAAAUCUUAACAAUCAGCCUUUUCCCAUGCAGAUCUGUUCUGGUUUUAAAUGGAAAGGGGGCUGAUGUGGCUAAGCAUUGUGUGCCUGCAGUACCUACAAAACGGUAAGAGCUAAAACAAUGCAGUAUAGUUCUUGUACUAAUGAUUUAUGUUCAGGCUAUUUACCUGCUCCUUUAUUGUAUGUCUUAGGAUAUCUAUCACAUUUAGAAGAAUGGAUGAAUUCAAACGGCCCAAGGGUUAUGCUCCAGAACCUGACUUGCAGGAUAUUCAACCAUUGUCCUAUGAAGAGGACAAGAUAAUUAGGUUAAAUACUCCUAGAGGCGAACGUCAGAGACAGUCAACUAGAAGAGUAGGUAACUCAGAAAUGAGGGGAUCUACAGAAAGAAGUCACGUCCACCCAGAGCCUCAUGACUCAACCUGGAGUCGACGCGGAUCUGGAAUGAGGUGGAACCGGGGAAGGGGGGUCAAUGUGAAUUUUGGGGGCUAGUUGAUGAUGGGUGCUUCAUUGUCAAGUUAAAGUGUUGCAGUUGGGCCAUUUCAACAUUUGGAGGGCUAAAUAUUGGUUUUUGACAUGUGGUCGUCAGAUGAGUUUGUCAUCAAGGUUGUUACAUAUUCAUAUUCCGGAAGAGCUGUAGGAAAAGGGUCUGAUUGGUUUUGUAUCUUUCUACAUCUAUUUAGGCUUGUCAACUGUGCUUUGGUUCAUUCUUUUUCCAAGAGCCAUAUGUGUGCAUUUUUUAGUAUAGUAUAGGCUAUAGCUGAAGUUCAGAGCAAGCGGCGAAGACGGUGGACAAAAUGAAACUUGCUGGCUUGAAUGCCACCUCAAUUUUAUUAGGAUGCUUUACUUAUAAGCAACUGGUUGCAUAAUUAGGGUAGCACUAUUGGGUUUGUGAGUUUGAAACAUGGGUGAUUUGUACCAUAUAUUGGAUCAUCAACCAACUUGAAGCUGGUUGUUUUUGUAGCAUAUUGCUACUUUUUAAUAUAUCCUAGCGUUGAUUGUAUGGUCAAAUGGGUGUGCUCUUAUUAUUCUUUGAUGAUCGAGGUUAAGUUUAGGAAUAUCUUUAGAUUAUUGGACCAUGAGCAUAAACAAGUGAAGAUUAAAAUACUCAUCAUCACAAAAUAAAACCCAACAAGAACAAGUGGGAAAAUAUUACUGCUUAAAGCUGUUUAUUGCAUGAAUUUCUAAUCUUGGUUUUCCUCAAUCCUCCCGAACCCAAGUUCCAAACUUUGAGAUUGUGGUCCACAGACCAUCCAGUCAAAAACUAUGGAGAAGCCAUUAUUUUUUUCCCCCAAACAAAAGAAAAUGUAAAAACAAGAUGAGAGAGAAGUUUGAACGCAACAGUAGUGGCUGGUUGGGGUGGUCCAAUAACCCACAAAUGCUUCAUUUACAUGCCAACCCUGAAACCCCAAAAGGCCUAACCUUUGCAUCAAUUAUGCAAGGUGGGGUCCACUCUAUAUAUGACCCUAGUGCUAUAGAAACAAAGCAUAUUAAACCACAUGAAAAGGCAACUGCGCUGCCCCUGCCAUCAAAACUUUAGACUUCAGAGGCAAAGUGGCAGCAGCCUAGCUAGCUAGCUAGCUAGCAAGGAAGCAAUAUCAUAUAUAUUAUAUAUAUAUAUAUAUAUAUAUAUGCGUGCGUGUGUGUGAGAGGGCGUCUUAUUAACUAUUCUAAGCAAAGUUUCUUGUAUUCAACAUAUUUAAAACGAAAUGCAUGUUUAUAUAUAUAUUUAUGGGUUUUCUUUCUAUUUCCCUUAUAAGAAGCAAAAGAAAAAAAAUUGAAUGAAUUCAAGGAGAGAGAGAUUAAAACUUGAGGCUAGGGUUCUUGCUCUAAAGAGAUGUAGAUGCAAGUCUCUAUCUUGGACUUAAGAGAAAGAAACCAAAAAGAAAAUUAAUGAGACUGUAUUAAGUAAUAGGGUUUUCUUUCUAUUUCCUUUAUAAGAAGCAAAAGAAAAAAAAUUGAAUGAAUUCAAGGAGAAAGAAAUUAAAACUUGAGGCUAGGGUUCUUGCUCUAGAGAGAUGUAGUUGCAAGUCUUUAUCUUGGACUUAAGAGAAAGAAACCAAAAGGAAAAUUAAUGAGACUGUAUUAAGUAUAGAGUCUAGAGAGAGAGAGAGAGAGAGAUGGUAGACAGUGAUGAUAUAAUUGUGAUGUAUCUUGAGAGAUAUGGGAAGAAAAUAACACCCAAAGGAUGAUUACCCGAAAGAAAAGGGAGGGUGGCACAGCGGCUGUGCACACUAAGGUCACUCAAUUAUGAGGUAAGCAGCUCAGGAUUUUGGAUAAGAAGAGGGACAGAUAUGUGCAACUUCACUGCCAAAUCAAAGUCUAAAAGUUGAUCAAAGAAAACAAGACUGUGACUAUUUGGACAAAGGAACAAAAACCCACAUCUCCUUUCCUCCCCUCCUCCCUGUAGGCUUUGGCUAAUUGGCUAUUUGUCUUGAGAGAGAGAGAGAGAGAGAGGCUCAAAGUCCCAAACCCCAUGUAAAUGCAUGAUAAGGAAAGGAAAUCUCAUGAUGAUAGUGUCAAAAUCAAACAUAUUAUGCAAUCUGAAAAAGUUGAGUUGAGAGAGAGAGAGAUGUACAACAGUCAGAAUUAUAGAAAAAAGGAAUGAGACUGGUUGAAUUCAAGGAGCUAGCUAGCUAGAGAGAUUGAAUGAAUGUUCUCCAUUUGCCCAAAAAUUUAGUGUAAAAAGACAAAAUCUAGCAACUAGCUUAGACACAUAAUCAUUUCUGAAUACUCACACAAAACACAUUAACAUGGUGGAUUAAUCUUUUAUUUUCAAAGACUAGACGUCAUGUGUGAUUAAAGAAGAACACACAUAUUACUUAUUAUUAAUGAGAACAAUAUUAAUUCCGCAUAAAACGCAAACCAAGCUGGGGGUGUUUAUGGGUUUAAGGACCACAUGCAGAUUGCGUGUGUAUGGGAAGAGAAGAGUUAAGAGCUAAGACCUAAGAGAGGAGGGAUGAUGGGUGGUACAAACAAAGCGGCAGUGGCAAAGAAUGAUGAAGCUUUUGAUGAUGAUCUCUUCCUCCUUCUUCUUCUCCUCCUCCUCUGCAGACUAUAUGCAUGAAAAGCUUCAGAAACCAUGACACAGAGCAUAUUAAAUGCUUUUUGGCAUUUAUUUUGGGGCGCGUGCACUGUAGCAUAAAGGAUUGCAGGCAUCAUGAUUCAUGACAAUGGAUUCUCUAGGUUGCACUUUAUUUACUAUGUGAUAUUUGGUCUGUCACUAUUCAUGUGAAUAGCGGCAGCCGUUGCAAUUUUAUUUUCAUCGGACGCCUUAGAUGCUGCCACGUGUCUUGUAGCAGUGGAAAACUAAUUUGAAAAGGGCACUAACGCCAGCGUGGCGUUAGUAAACCUAGGCAACAGCACGGGUCGGAUCUACCUUUGGGCUUACCUGGGUUGAUGGCCCCCACAUCUUGCCCGGACUGCUUUAUGCGCGUUAGAAUCGUCUCGCGAGCCUAGGGCCCCUCCUGCCCGGGCCAAACUGCUGCGGUGGACUUAGCUCUAAUAAAUCACUUCCUACUUAGAGUUUGUGUGCUUUUGCUUGUGCAACACAACUUUUUUAUUUUAGUAGUCUUUCUUUCAUUGUUAAGGUGUGAUUGAGAAUUGCAGUGUCUAAUAACAGAAACGCUUUUUUUAUUGUUGUUGGAUUCAAAUGGGACAGAAGGGUUUUUGUUUUUGUUUGUUUGUUAGAUAAUCACUUUUAGUACUUCCUAAACAACCACCUAGGCUCGUUUUGAGUGUUAGAUCGUCAUAUCGUGAAUUUAAACUAUUACUAAUCGUAUUAACUUUUGUCGUGUGAUUCAGAUUCAUUAUUUUGAGUGCCUUUAUGAUAUAGAAUUCUAAUUUAUAACGUGGGAAACUAUUUGAUACUUUUGUUUAUACCAUUGUUGACCAAAUUAUUUCAAUGCUAGUAAAAGUAGUUGUCCAAAUGUAUGCUCAAAGUUGGAGUGUGCUUCAUAAUUGGACUAAUAGCAACUAAAUCUCUUGAUUUGAUGGUGAAAUUUGGUCCGUUGUCGUGUUCAAAUUCAAACUAUGAAUUGAGUUAUAUGGAGUGGCUUUGACUCCCAUCUUUCUCUAUUUGUUCUUUUUUGGGUGGGUCGCCAGGGAUUUUCUCCUUGUGAUUCUAACAUUCUUAUUGUUGAUAGCUUAAAGAUCAUAAAUUUGAUCUUUGUUUUCAUAAUGUCAAAAGCAUAAUUUUCAAUCAAAGUAAGUAUGACUUACAUCAUUACAUGCAUGCAUAUGUUACCUCAACAUGAAAAUUAACAGUAUAUAAAUAUGCAGGCAACCAAUUGGGGAGAACAAAUUCAAAAGUAAUGCAUAUUAAUAUAUAUUUACAGACUGGAAAAAUAAAUUUUUCUGUCAAGAAUCGGAGAUUUGAUUGGCACAAGUAGGGGUAGGAGGCUCUAUAGCUAGAAGCUGUGAGUAAUUUGCAUUGAUUAUUACCAUGCUGUAAUUGGCUCAGAAGUAGUGCAAACUCUCCACUUAUAUAUAUACAUAUAUAUAUAUAUAUAUAUUCCUCAAGGCUGUAAAUAUAUGUAUUUACUCUACCCUCCCCAGCUCAGGCCAGAUUAUUAUACCCAAAUAAUCUAGGCUUAAAAGGGGGGAUAGCAGAACCAAAAACAUAGAAACCCUAAUGGCAAAGAGCCUCAAGUACAGUUUGAAACCUAUGUAUAGGGUAGUUCAUCAAUUUCAAAUGACAGUUUUGCCCUUGACAACCCUAUAGGUAAGUACAAGAAUAUCUUGUGGUUCUGGCUAUGGCUAAAUCUUGGCCUGGUUUUGUUAUCAGAAAAAAGAAAUAAAAGGACUCUAUGAUCUCCAUUAAAAGAAGAACCUCUAAAUCACACAGUACCACCAUCAUUUUUAUGGUCAUUCAUUCAUUCAUUCAGAAUCAGAAGCCUCUUUCUUCUUUCUUUCUUUCUUUCUUUCCAAUCCAUUAUAUCAUCACUUCAUAUCAUGCCACCCCACAUUUUAUAUUAUAUUAUUCUUCUCAUCUCUCUCUCUCUCUCUCUCUCUCUCUCUCAAAGUGCAUCAUUAAUAAUUUUUCAUAUAUUCUGGUCAUGCCUUUUCAACCGAGUAAUUCCCACUGAUACCCUCCCUUUCUAAGCCCUCUUUUGUCCCUUCCCUUUUUAUGAACCUCCUCUCUGUCAACUUCAGUCUUUCUCUCUCAGAUAUUUCUCUGAUUUCCUCUCUUCAUAUCUCCAUGUGCCCCUCCCCCAUCUUAAUUAUAAACCCAUCUUGAUCCCCAAUCCCAACAUUUCAAUUUCAUGCAUUUCCUCUCUCUCUCUCUCUCUCUGCGGAUCACUGUUCUCAUUUUUGUUUGCUUCCCUUUGUAAUUUUCUUCCUUCCAAGCCCUCUCAAUGGAACCUCAACAAACCCAACAACAACCAAAUGAAGAUGGCAGCAACAAAGGGACUAGUAGUGGUACUAAUUUUCUGUGCAGGCAAAGCAGUACAAGGUGGACACCCACAAGUGAUCAGAUUAGAAUAUUGAAGGACCUUUACUACAACAAUGGUGUGAGGUCCCCAAGUGCAGAGCAGAUUCAGAGGAUCUCUGCUCGGCUGAGACAGUACGGCAAGAUUGAAGGCAAGAACGUUUUCUAUUGGUUUCAGAACCACAAGGCUCGUGAGAGGCAGAAGAAAAGGUUCAUUGAUGUACCAGCCCCACCCAUCAUGCAAAGAUCAGGGCUUGGGAUUAAUAAUAAUAAUGCUCCUACUGCUUAUGAACCCAUUAAUCACAGCAACAAGUACCCCAACAGUUCUGCUUCUGCUGGUAAUUAGUUGAUUAAACAACCAACCCUUUUAGCUAAUUAAAAAAUUAAUUACCUUCUCCCCUCCCCUUCUUUCUUUCUUUUUACUAUAUUUGGGUGUUUUUUAUUUGUAGGGGUUUCUCCUUCUUCAGCUGGUGUGAUUGCUGUUGGGCAAAUGGGGAGCCAUGGCUAUGGAUCUAUGACCAUGGAGAAGAGUUUUAGGGCAAGUAUAUAACAGGAAGUUAUUGUGUGUCUUAGUUGCUUAAUUACAACUUGACCACCUUAAUUUUUUGCACCCAUGUGAGCACAGUGCAAGCUUAAUUUACUAUAAUCUACUCAUACAAAAACAUCCCACAUCCAGCCACUGGAAAUUUUCUAUAUUUAGGAAGAAACCCUUUGGCCCCUUGUUUCCCUUUCAUGACCAAAUUAAAAAAACCCCAUUUCUCAAAUCAAGCCAAACUAGUUGAAUUUACAGUCCACUCUAGGACUGGUACUAAAAUGAAAAAACAGUUUGAGUACUUUUAACAAAUGUGAAAUUCAUUAACCCAUCUUCUCUCUUCUUCUUUUUUCUUCCUUUUUUUUUUUUGAAUUAAUUGCAGGACUGCUCAAUAUCAGCUGCAGGAGGUACUAGUAGUGGUCAUGUUGGUGGAUCUAAUAAUAAUAUUGGUCACAACUUUGGAUCAUGGGUUGGUGUUGAUGCAUAUUCUUCACCCUACACUCUCUUUGACAAGAGAUCAUCAUCAAGACAAGUGUUUGGUGACCAAGAAAAUACGAUGGAUGAAGAAGAUCAUGAAUACCAAGAAAACCUGCAGGGUUCCCCAGAGAUUGAAACCCUCCCUCUCUUCCCCAUGCAUGGUGAAGACAUCCAUGGCUUUGGCAACAUCAAGUCCACCUCCGACGGCUACUACUCCGGCUGGUACCGCUCCGACGACGGCAACAAUGGCCGCACUUCCCUUGAGCUCAGCCUCAAUUCCUACGGCCACAUGACCCGUGAUUAUUUCAGAUCAUAUUAAUCAAGACCAGACUAAUUAAUUAGUAUCCCCAUGUUAAUGUUUAUGAUCUUAUAUCAGCUUGUAAGUAUCUGAAUGGCUACUACUAAUUAUGUUUGCUUAACUACUAUAUGUCAAUGGGUAUUUGACACGUGUCAUGCAAAGAACUUAAUCUGCUGAUGAUUAUCUUGCUUUUAACUUUUAGUUGUUCCUAUUCCCAAGAAUAUUCCAUGGUAAUUAUUUGCUAAUUAAGAUGCAUGGAGUCUCAAUAAUAUAAUAACAAUAAUAAUCCCAUGAUUCUUAAUUAAAAUGCAAGAACAUGAUCCGAUGGUGCAGAUUUUAACUGCUGGACGGUUUGCAGUCACCUUCAUUGGAUUAAAUAAUGCAUUAAUAAAAGGCCUGUUCAUUUUCAAGCACAUAAUAAUAAAUAAAUAAAUAAAAGUUAAAACUGCAGCUAGACUAGAGAGAUGAAGAAGAUCAAUUUUUGACUAGCUUGCUGUGCUAGCUGUGACGUCAUUUGUCGACAGAGAUUUUAAGUGUGGGGCCCUUGAACUUGAAGGGAACUACGGUGGGUUUACGUUAGGUUUUGGAGUUGUCAAGGUGGGUUGUGUUUAUGUUGUUCUGGUGGGUGUGGGCAACGGGCAUUGUCGAAAAGAUUUGCCAAUGAUAUCAAAUGGUGUACAAAGGAAAUAUAGAAAGAUAUGCUGUUAGGGCAACAAUGAUGAACGUGUGUGAAUGUAUUUUAUAUGCAGCCGUUUUUAUAAAGUAGCUGGGAGCUAGUGGUAAGUGCGAGGAGGAUAUAUUUUGAAGUUUGAACCUACUUUGGAAAUACCAAAAUAUUCUUCUUCUUUUCCUCUUUCUUUUUUGUAUAUAUAUAUAUAUAUAUAUGAUAUGAAGCAAGUUAUUUUAUAUAUGCAUUAAAAUAAAUCCAACAAUCAUGAAUAAUAUAAGUGUUGAAUCUUGGAAAGUGUUACAUUUCAUUCGUAAUGUGUCUUAUUUUUGACUUUACAUUAAAUUUUAUUAUUUGAAUUGAUGUUCAUGCCUUUUACUUAUUCAGUAUAAAAAUAGUAAGUUUCGAUGCCUAAAUAUCUCGGUAGGCUUCCCAGUCGGUUUUUCACGUUCAGUUAAUCAGUGAACUUUGGUAUUUCUAUAUUUUUUGCCAGCCCUAGCUUUGAGUAUAUAAAUAAAUGAUAUAUUUCUUAUACCAUUGGAUUUACAAUCACUUAGAACUUUGACGAGUGUAAAUGGCGUCUUCUUCACAUGGGUACGAAAUGAGUUAAACAAGCAGAAAUGAAAUGUGUGUACAAAUGAACGUGACAUGAGCCAUACGACACAUUCACAAAGACAUUCACCAACAGAAAAUAUAUUCACUCUCCAUCAGUCCAUAUACAAUCACAAUUGGGUUCAAUUUUUCUUGCGUCUGGUAGAGCUCAGCUUGUGGACAGCUCUAUAAAUGAGGUCCCCAUCAACAAGAUUUUGGGUGGAUGCAUUCCUUUUUCUGGUUUGACAGAAGUUCAAACUUUAUAGCUUAGGGCUGACCUUAAUUGUCGUUUAGAGCAUACAAAGCCUCAAGAGGGAAAAAAAUAAAAAAACAGAGAGCAUGAUCUCUUCGAAGAAGUAACUAACAGACAAUGCUUCUUGUUCCUGGUUGAUAGAUAUAAGAGAGAUUUAGGUGUGGAUCGAAGAAGAUCUUUAAAGCUUUCUGGGGCUUCAAGUACGUAAUGUCCCUUACCAGCAAAAUGAGGCAUGACAUACAUCAUGCUUUUCAGCCAAUUCUAUGUAAAAGCCUUCAAGGCCAUGGUCCAAGUUGGUUUGCUUGCCAUUUUCAUCGCAACUAUAUAUAUUGCGGUUCAAUAUUUUUUUACCUAUUGGUCCGCAUGGGUCCAUAAGACAUUUUGCUUUACCCGUACGUAUACUAUGUCCACUUACUCACAUUUCCAUAAUCUCUCCCACAUGAGUUUUAUCUUUAUCUUCUUCUCUUGGAAUGGAGAACUUCAGUAGUCUGACCAUAGCUUGAAUUUUAAGUGAAUCUCGAGUUUUUCGGGUGCGGAAUCCACACCAUUCACGGUUGUCGGUUCUCCACGCUUCAAUAGACUACUCUAUAUUGUUGAUAUGUGCAUUGUCUACACCCAUCAACGACUGUCAAUUACUAACGCAUAUAGGAGGUGGGCAUGGUUGCCAUACAGUAAUUCAACAUUAGAAAACGCCUAUUUUGGCACCAGUGUGACUGGCCUCCACCACUUGAUAUCUGAUCUGACAUUUCAUCUUCAUGAUACGAUUUACAAUCAUGGAACAUGCACACUAUGUAAAAUUUGGAAGUGAUAACUUUGUAAAAAAUUUACAUUUAGAUGCCUGACACUGACUUUACAAAGAGCAGGCCAUACGAUCUGGACCUUACUUGCAGAGCAUCUAUAAAUCCUUUAAGAAUCUAUAUUUUGGAUUUAAAAAGAAUGACUCAUAUGUUAGUACAAUUCUCUUUUUCUGUUCACGGGGUCCCAGAAGCAAGGCUGAAUCAUGACAAUAACUCUGGCUGUAACUUCAAGUUUCACUAACAAAUGGACAAUUAAAUGGCACUUUUGAACUGCUUUGCACUAGAAAUUAGGGGGGAGAUGACCGAAAAUUUCUACUUCCUUCCAACAUAAGCUCCCAAUUUAGACAAAUCUGGAAUCCAAAAUGAUAGCUCAGAAGAUCCAGUUGCAAACAUGAGGUUUCCCGGAGCCCAUUUGACAACAGGAGGUUCAUUUUCAGUGCUCAUCCAACUUGUGACCUGGAUAGGUUACAAUCAUUAAUUGUGACUUAGAAGCACAAGGAGAACAAAGAAAUACGAAUGGAUGAAGGCAGAAAAUUAUUUAUCAUACUUCUUUCCCACUCCGAACACUCCACGCAUAGACACUACCAUCACCUGAACCUGCCAAAAGUUUGGAAACCAAUAAAUCAUUUGUCUGCCAGUCCAGCCAGGUUAAAUUAUCAUGGGUGGAAUUCAGGGGUAUGCUAGGGAAAGCAGGUGUUUUUGGGUAAGUAUAUUGAAUAAGAUGUAUGCAUGAAAAUGAAACCACAGCAUUGAAGAAACUAUGCAUUUAAACAGCAAUCAACAAGAUGAUGUCCCAGAGCUUACUCACAUGACACAAGAAAUCAUAAGUGACAAUUAUGUUGGAAUUUUAUACCCACUCAGCACAAUAGGCACAUAUAAGUACAACAGAAAGAAAAAAUGAAACAGAAGACAUGCAUACCUGAUAUGACAAACAUCCCCUCUGGGCUGAAAGAAGCCUCUAAUGUUGAACUGCUGGAGACUGGCUUUACAUUAUAUGUGGAUAACUAAACAAUGACAAAAAAACCAUAUAGAAAGACUAAAUUAUGUAAAGGCUACCAAUUCAAGAAAUUCAAGAAAUUCAAGAAAUUCAAGAUGAUCUGAGUUGGUUGAGAGCAAACUUUUUCAAAUUAAAAUUGAGUUGUUGAGGAGAGCAACUUACAAGUGUGCCACGGAACGAAUCAAGAACAUGAAUAUGUCCAUCUGUGGUUGUUAAAAGCACAAGUCUCCCAUCGUUACUGAACUUUACAACAUUUGCAUCAGACAUAUCUCCCCCAACAGAAAAGAUAUCAAAAGGACCCUAACAAGAUGAAACAGUUUAGACAACCAGAUCAGCCAUGCUUACAUUGUCAUAUACAGAUAAAACAGUUUACACGGCUGCAAAAUUUCAAUUGCCAUAUGCACUGAAAUAUAAACAACUGACCUUUUCAUACUUGCGGGCAUCAAACAUUCUUAUGUAUCCACCAAAGGCAACUGCAAAAACUAGCCCUUGAUCAUCAUAAGUUGUGGCAGGCCUUCCUUGUACGCGUAAGAGACCCUAAAAUACGAACACAGAUUAUAAUCAUUCAAAGAAAGACAUGUAAUAUAAGAAACCCAACCCAAUACCCAUAUGCCAAGGCCCCUACCUGACACUUCUCAGCCCGUUGAUCCCAAAGCAGAACAGUUCUAUCAAGAGAACCGGAGAUGAAGCAGUCUUUGCGAGAACACAAGCUAAGUGAGACUACCCUAAACACAAAAGUUCAGAACCCAAUUUCUCCCAUUAGACAGAUAUGUUCAACUACUUCAGUACAACCCACCCACUUGAGUUUUAAAAAAAUGGCAAUAAUCUCAGAAACCAGACCUGUCAUGGUGGCCUUUGAAAUAACGCAAGUACUUGUUGUCAUGCAAUGAGAGAAGCCUCAAGGAUUCUGAAUGAACCAGUCAUAUAAACAACACAUUCUAAGUAUGCCACACAGUUGACAAACAUAAAUAUCAAACAUGGUAGUUGAGGUAAAGUGGAAGCAUACCAUCCCAGCCAUUUUUGGAAGAGUAUAUAACUGUGGUAGGAUGAGAAGUAAAGCAAACCAAAUCAACUCCAUACUUUUUGCUGUUGAUGGUCUUCAAGCAUGUUGCAGUGGAGACAUCAUAUAAACGAAUCGACUCAUCAUCACUAGCAGUCACUACAUAACUAGUCGCCUUGUGAAAAUCCAACGAACUAAUUCUACCACUCUGAGCAUAAAAGCAAAUACUCAGAUUCAAAUACACAAAGCUCGAAGAAAAUGGUAGUUUUUAUUUAUUUGUUAAAUGAUGAAAACAACCAGAAACAGAGAGAUAAAGUACUUACAUAGUCUCUAAAAGCUAACCCAACUUCCAUGCUUUGAAGAAUUUCCUCUGUCAGCUCCAUAGAGACCUUGUCUUCUCUUUCUGAAAUCCCUUCACAGCAAGAACAAAAAUAGUAAAUAAAAUCAGUAAUUCACUAAUUGACACCAAAUCUAAGCGAAAAAUGUAAAAAAUUUCACACCAGCCAUUGGGAAUCGGUUAAUAUGGUUCUGGGUCUAUCUCAUUCCGGGAAAUUGAAAAUUUCAGUGAAGCCCUCCGCCUCCUGCCUCCGUCUCCAACCUUCGGCAAUGUAGAUGAAAUAGACACAGGGUCGUUUUUCUUUUUCGUAAGCUCGCCAAGUUUGUCAUUGGGUGAGCUCAAGCCCAUAUAUGUGUUUUAUGGACUUUGGACCAGGUUUGUUAGCUCGUAUGCUUUUACUUUUUGGGUCGGAUCUUUUAUUGGCCCAAUGAAUUCUUCUUUAGUCCAUUUAUUUUUAUGGUGAUACCAAUCAUCUAAUUCAAUUCUCAAUAUCAAUUGGAUGAUUGGAUUUGAUUUGAUUUGAUUUGAUUGAAAACAUCACGAAUCUAUAUCUUAAAUAAAUUGAUUUAAAUUAUAUUACUUUCGAACCGAUGCACACCGUUAAAUAUCAUAUGAUAAAAAUUUUCACGAAUCUUAUACUUUCAUUGAUGAUGUUGAAUUUAUGAAAUUCUUUAACAAGUGUCAUUAGUAUGUAUCAAUUUAUAAACAAAGUGCUUUGAGGACCAAAGAUUUUUUACAAACAUUUUAUCUGCUUUUUCUUUUUUUCUGAUUAAAGACAAGCAUCUUAUCAUUGCAAAUUCGAUUCCAUAUGGAACAAACACCAUAUAUAUUGCGUUCUCAAGAAAAGAGAUAAACCACAUAUAUAUAUAUAUAUAUAUAUAGAGAGAGAGAGAGAGAGUUGUUCUCUACUACAGACCCGUAUUUUUUUUAAUGUCCAGACCACUUGUUCUUUUGCCUUCUUUGUGUUAAUAAAUCAACCCAAACACUUGUAUCACUUUUCUUGGUAAAGGUAGAAUAGAAACCAUGCUCUGUCAAUUCUUAAAAGUCAAACAUCAUCACCUCUAGAUUGGGCUUUUCUUUCAUUGGUGGACUGUAAAGAGAAUUUGGAGGCUGUUAUGUGUGCUUUAGUGCCUUUUUUUAAUGAUAAAGAAGAGAAAUGCAGAAAACAAAAUGGAAAUGGUUUCCUGAUCAUGUGAAAAAACAAGUGCACAUUAAGCAAUUCCGGACGUCCACACUAGAGAAUAGUCCUAUAUAUAUAUACAAACAGUUAUUAGGAAAGAUUUAGAUCAUUAAAUCAUUGAUAACUGGAAAAAAAAAAGACUGAGAAGCUUCUCAACAAAAAAAGAAGACAAAUUUAUGAAUCUGAAAUUAAUUCCCUGUAAAUGCACAUACCAAUUUACAAUUCACCCCUAACAAUCUCAACAAACACCCUCUCCCUCUGUAAGAAAAUCUAAAGAAAAAAAAAAACAAAGAAUGGCAUAAACUCAUGAACAAUAUACUCACACAAAUUCAAAUAUGAAAUAAAAACUAAUAAUUGCUAAUAUGUCACAUAACUAGAACUGGUAUAACCACGUCUCGAUCUGCCACGGCAUCAAUGGAGCUUACUAGAACUAGCGGAAGAGCCCCGGUUGCCGUCCUCCGGCGAAGCUUUUUUCUUGAUGAACUCGAUGCAAUCGGCUACUGCCUCGCUGUGGUGAGGGUCAUCAUGCGGACAAUAAUACCGCUGCGCAUCUGGGCUGGAUCGGCCAGCGUGGCUUGUGGACUUGUUGGAGGAGACAGCAGACAGCAUGAUCAAACGGAAAACCGCCUCGCGAAACCGCUCGAGCAGAGUCAUCGGAGACAGGCGUUUGGUUUUGUUGCUGCACGAGUUGACGUUGCUUCUCAUCCUGGGAAUGCAUAGAUGGGUUUUCAUAAUUUUUGCUUUUAGAGUUUCUCAAGGUUUUGGUGUCGUUUUGAACUAAGACAAUAUGAGAGAGGGGUCAAGGUGUUGCUCUAUAUUUUGAUAUGAGAAUCUAAUUGCGUUGCAUGGAACGACAACUCAGAUUUAUAUCUAUACAAGUUUGCUUUUUGGUUGGGUUUAAUACUACGCUAAUCACUUGUUUGAAUCUGCCAUAUAAUGUUUUUCAUGAUGCGACCGGAUCAUCUUUACAAAGAUUUACUCAAAUCAAUAAGUGUUUUCUUUUAAGUCGGUAAAUUGAAAAGAAUUUAGUUAUCUAGUUUUGUAAUAAAAUAAAUAAAUAAACACGGUAUAUUCAAUAAAUAACAAAAAUAUUCACAAUCAUAAUUAAAUGUCUUACGAUUUUUAAUUUCGAGAAAAUUUUAUGGGAAUGAUGCUUGAAUGAAGACUAAGCUCAAAUGAGUGAUUAGCACUAUAUGUAUUAAAUUAAUAAGUCGUUAGUUUGGUUACAUAUUUUAUAUUAAAAUUGAAGUAGACUUCAUAGCCAUGCAUGCAUGAUGCAUGUUACUAGUAUAAAUUUUUUUGUCUUCAUCGCUGCUAGGCUUCACAUGGCUACAUGUGCAUGGUUGUAUAAUUUUCAAUCAAACUAUAAGUAAUGUAUGGUUCCUAUUGGAUUCCGCCGACUUACCGCCCUGGAAAAAUGAAAGUAAAUUCUAUUGUUUUUAUGUGUGCCCUAAUGUAUUUGUUCCACGAAUUUGUGGGAUGGGGGAUGAAUUUCAAAUACAGAAUUGGGCAUGUGAGAGAGAUGGGGCAAAUUAAUUAUGGUACGUGGGGGUCAAUCUCCCCACCAUGCUUCGAAUUGGACUUGCUGUCGGUCUGUUUGUUUGCUCAUAUAUUAAGGGAGUUGUUGUGUUCACUAUAUCCAUCAUUUAAUUAAUUAGGGUCCUCAAUCGGGUCGUCCCGGGCCAUUUCGGGUCUAUACACCCGUGUUUGGGUUAGUCGGAUUCUUGUCGGAUCGAGAUUUAGCUUAUUGGGCUCAAGUAAGCUCAUUUUGAUCAUCGGUUCAAAAGAUGAUUUCUAAUGUGAAUGAAUGUAGCGAUAUAACAAAACUAUUUGUAUCAGAUCGAUUUGCAAUUUACGUUAUUUGUUAUGUCCCUUAACCAUUUGAGCUACAAGUCCCUUACAUAAUGAGAAAUGAGGAAUCGAACCUAGAACCUCAAGGAAAGGAAAAAUCCAACUUAAAACCUCAAGUACAUGAAUAAAUAUUCUUAACCAUUUGAACUAUAAUAUCCUUUCAUAACUUUACUACUUAUGCAAAUAAAGAUGUAAUGAAUAAAUACGAUACAUAUGUCAAUUAUUCUGGUGAUGGUUACAUUUUUCAUAGAGGUGAUGGGUAAUCAUCCAACAAAAGAGAUGGGGUUUGUGGGUUUGUAUGAACUUCAAUUCGGCCUGUACUCAUUGUAAACAGCAUACAAUGGCAAUGCUUCUGUGGCCCAUAUAACAACAUGUUUACAGAAUUCAUGUUGGGCGUAGGCCGAAGCCCGCCUUACAAAUUUACAAAAAUUUGAAGCAAUUUCCUUAUUUAUUAGAAAAAUGAGAGAGCCCAAAUAAAAGAAACAAGUGAUGCCUUAGCUCUGAUUAUUUCAAUAAAAUUGACUGUUAAUGGAAACCCUUUUGCAGGCUUCAUUUAUCAACAACAAACAUUCUUGAAAUGAAUAUAUUUACUUAAUAAUCUCUGCACAAUCUGCUCACGAGAGCCUCAGGCUCUUGGAGACCCCCCACCACCUUCUUGAAUUGCCUUGUUUUUGGCAAAAAACCACCCAACCAGAGGCACCAAUGGCUUCUUCUUGAUUUUCUUGACAGAAGGGUUUCCAACUCUCUCCCCCAAGUCUUCUUUGCUAACAAUGACUUGGGCCAGUGUAGGAGGACUUGCAAAUUUCACAUAUCUUUUCUUCUGCACCAAUUCCUCUGCGUCUUGGCUCAACAUGGUCUUGGUUUCAAACUUCGCGGCGCCAUCCUCAAUGAAUUUAAGGUCGUCUUCUUCAAUCUCAGGAUCAACUGGGUCCUUCUGAUCAAACUCUCUUGCCUUCAAGUACUUGUGCAGCUCUUUCUUUGCACGGUCAAGAUCAUCCCUUAGUGACUUUAUGCAGUAUGCCAUUAUCUUGUUUUCUUCUCUAACUUUCUGAAGAUUUCGCUUUGUUUCUUCAAGCUCAGCUUCCAAGACCCCAAUUGUUGAUUGAGCAGAAGCAGCAUGCCCUGCAGCUCCAAUCUAACAUAGAAAUUGAACAUUAACACUAGAAAAAAAAGAAGUAAAAAUGGUGUUGUGGUAGGAGCUAUAGCUAACCUCUUUGAGCUUGUUGGCAUAUAUUUCUCCAACCAAAACUCUUUCCCCAAACAACAAGACUGCUUCUUUGACUGAUUUGAAAGGUGCUCUGGUGUCAAUCUCUGCUCGGCCCAUGACCACCAAUUUGCCUUCCUCUGUGUUCAUCAUGCUCAAUCAACGCAAGGAAAGGGAAGAAGAUAUUAAUGGUGGAAUUAAUGAGGAAAGGUCCUUUUAAUACAAGUUUCAAAAUGGGGAGCUGCAAGAGAGGAGGUCGUUGGAAAUGGAUGGUGUGGUUCUAGCUUUGCUUAGAGGAAGUUAAGAAGAAAAAAAUAAUGGGGGGGGGGGGGGGGGGUUUUGUUUUGGUUUCCUUGGCGUCCACUUCACUGAAUUUUGUUAAUUGAAGUUGACAAGAGUGGUUGGACUAUCUUGAUCACUUUGUUACUUCUUGGCUUCUUGUUAGAGUUUGGGCUGCUUCCUUCCGUUACCAAUGUGGGUUAAACAAAUCAAUAAGCAUUAACAGCCAAGUAAUUGAUAGAUCACAAAUAUAUACCGCCAAUUAUUAGGUGUGAUGUGAAGUCUCAUGGUACUGCUUUGUCACUUCUUAUGGGUUAAGAGAUAUGGAUUAUGUUUGAAGACAUAAAUGAAGCAAUUGUUAUGAGUUAUCUGAUAAAUGUGGUUAUCCCUAAACUUACAUGUAUUCCAUGUAUGUAGAAGAAUGACUCUUGUGAGCUAUUCAAAAGGUCACUGCUGUUAAAAUAAUUGGAAUAUUUUAUUUUUAUAAAACACUUUAAACUACUUAACUUUAAAGUGAAGUAGGUUUUUUGUUUGAAAAAGCAAUCCCAAACAGAGCCUUAGUUUUUCAAUAUGUCCAUAAAAUUGCAAUGUGAUAUUAUCAAUUCAGUUAUGCUAUAUACAAAUAUAUAUGUAUUAAUAUUAUAUCUUCAAGUAUAAACAUGUCUCCUUCACAUGUUUAUAAAUUGAGUGAAUUAAUAACACUAAACUAAAUAUCUUUACUAUCAAUUUGGAAAUUUAAAAAUAUGGGAAGUAAUAAAUUGAUUUGAAAAGUCAUUCUCAUUAAACUGUUUACCAAUCAUAUAGAAUCAUAAUAGGAAUGAAGUUGAUUCCAAUUAUUACUAUUUACUAAUUCUCAUGAACCGAAACUCUGACUUUUAAAAUGGGACUUACAUUUGUUUGAUUCCCUAUGUGUUAGUAACGUGAAAAAAAUAACUGAUUGAAAUAAUUUCAUUUAUUCUCAUACCCAUUCCUAAUAAGUGACAGUGUUACAUUCAAACACAAAAACUUCUAUGUACACACGGCACUUCCUAUUUUUUCUACCCUUUUUCUCUCUCCAGCCACAGUGGAGAUUAGGCCGUGGUUCGUAAAAUAGUGAGGGUGUUAUUUUGAACACACGAGUCUGGCUGGAUACCACCACCAACAUCAAACACACAAGCCCGACCACCACCACCACGAGUUCCCGACCACCACACCAUAAGUCCACGAUCGUCUGCCCCUAGUCUAGUUGAUGGUUCGAUUGGGUCUGCCCCUAGUCUAGUUGAGUGAACAACCAUCCUCAUCUCAGGGCGCUCUUGGCCUCCGCACCCCAACUUUUAAGAGAGCCAUCCACUUUUGGUAUGUGGUGGAUGCAAACAAAACAAAACAAAAUUCCAAAUGAAAUCUUAAAUAGUGUGGCAUAAAGAGAGUGAAAAUGAGGGAAGGAAGAAGAAAAGAGAAAGGAAAGAAUAUGAAGAAAGAAAGAAAAAAGAAAUAGGGAAGGCAGAAGAAAAGAGGAAGAAAGGAAGAAGAAAAGACAAAGUAGAGAAGAGGUAGAAAGAUAAAAAAGGACACAAGUUUUAGCCUUUAAAAAAUAUUAGAAUUUUAUUUAUUUAUAGGUCAAAAUUUUUAAUUAAAAUUAAAUAUUAGAAUUUUAUUUGUUUUAUUUGUAUUUAUUUUUAUGUCAAAAUCCUUAAUUAAAAUUAAAUAUUAAAAUAAUUUUUUUUUUAGUCGAAUGCAACACCAAACGUAGGUCAGUAUUUUAAUCCAGUUUAAGCCAAUCCGAAAAGCUAAUUCAAGACAAUCUCAAAAUUUAAUUCAGUCCAUAAUAGUCCGUUGUACCAAACCCUCUGUAGGUGUGUGAUGAGCAGAUACUGGGUACAAAUAUAACUUCUCUCCUGGCCUUUUAUCUCAAUAGCAGGUUCCUAAACCCUUUGCAAAUAAAAUCAGCCCAAUAUCUCAAAAUCAGGUCCCUAAAUUAAAUUUGGGCCUCUAACGGUUUCAGAGUCCGUUAAACCACUCUAUAAAACGGCUUUCGUCCCUGAAAACCACUUAACGCAAUUCCCCCAAAAUCUCGAGUCCUCGAGGACACGAUGAGAGAAACAUAGAACACUGUCAGCGUAAAUAACAUAACAUAUAGAGAAAUUACAAGACCAUUUCCCGACCAUCACUCGAAAAACCCUAAUUUCCAACAUUGAAAGUCAAUUUCUCCUCCGUUUUAUCCGUACGAUCUCUUCCAUUUUAGACCAACAGCAGUAAGUAGGAGAGCUCCGGUUGCUUGGAGUGCUUCUUGAAGUAGAAGAAGAAGAGGCUGCAGAGUCGCGCCAGGAGCACUUUAAUCUGAGCAACCAGAGUCUUUGAAAUUUGGUUUCGAAGCUGUGCGUUUCGUGUUUUUCGCGGCAAAGCUAGGGUUUUUUGGUUGCUUUCUGCUUGUUCUACUAAGCCAUGAGUCCGGUUCAGAAUUUCGAGCAACACGCUCGGCGUCUCGUCGAGCUUGACCUCCGUACUUUCUCUCUCUCUCUCACUCUCUCUCUCUGAAGCAUAAUUCAACUAUGGUUUUGAACUCUUAAACCUCCCUUUAGCUUCUGAGCAAAAGUUAUAUAAUUUUGAUAAAAUUUAAUCAAACGAGCCCUUAAUAUGAGAAUCAUAUUCAUCUUCCUGUGCAAAAUAUUAAUUUAUUUUCCAGUAAUGCAGGUCCUAUUGAACCAAGCAUGUCCUUUGUAUUCACACCCAAUAGUAUAACAAAACAAAACAGCUCAAUUUUGAUUUGAUUAAUUAUUGAUUUAACUACGUUUGAACGAAGGUCUUGACGAUGUUCUUGUUUCUUUUGUUCCUUCUUAUUUGGAACAGCAAUUCAGACAAGGCUUCAGAUGGCAAUGGAGGUUCGGGACAGCCUAGAGAUUGCGCACACUGCCGAGUACUUGAAUUUCCUAAGAUGCUACUUUCAUGCAUUCUCAGUGAUUCUUCAGAAAAUUACAAAACCACAGUUCACGGACAAUCCCGAACACAAGCUCCGAAACAUCGUGGUGGAGAUUCUCAAUCGUCUCCCCCACAGUGAAGUACUCCGCCCUUUUGUCCAGGAACUCUUGAAGGUCGCAAUGCAAGUACUAACCACUGACAACGAAGAGAAUGGCUUAAUAUGUAUCCGUAUUAUCUUUGACCUCCUUAGGAACUUCAGGCCCACUCUGGAAAAUGAAGUUCAGCCAUUCUUGGACUUUGUUUGUAAAGUUUACCAAAACUUUAAGUUGACGGUUAACCAUUUCUUUGAAAAUGGGGCGGUGGGUGGGGAAGAUAUCAAGACUAUCGAUACUUCUUUAGAUCAACCAUUGAGUGGUAGUAUCGGCAGUAUCGGUGGUGGUGGAAUUGGGGGUGGCGGUAUUGGUGGUAGUGGGUAUGCUGGUGGUGGGCAGCUUAACCCCAGUACACGUUCUUUCAAAAUUAUAAACGAGAGUCCCCUGGUGGUCAUGUUUUUGUUUCAGUUGUAUAGUCGACUUGUGCAGACCAAUAUUCCUCACCUGUUGCCUUUGAUGGUUGCUGCUAUAUCUGUUCCUGGCCCUGAAAAGGUUCCUCUUCAUUUGAAGACUCAUUUUAUUGAGUUGAAGGGUGCACAGGUGAAGGUAAGCAGGUGUUUCUGUUGAGUUUAUAUGUAUUAAAUCUUACACGAGCAGGGCACUGUUGUUUGUUACACUUGUUUAAUCAUUUUCAUUUUUUUGUCCAACCUGUCCAGGUCUUUUCAUGAGUUUUUACUAAUUUGUUUCUUUUCCAUUGCAGACAGUUUCGUUUUUAACGUAUCUGUUGAAGAGCUUUGCUGAUUAUAUCAGGCCGCAUGAAGAAAGCAUAUGUAAAAGCAUAGUCAGUUUGCUAGUUACAUGUUCAGACUCUGUAUCAACUAGAAAGGUAAAAAUUAUUGUCUCUUAGUUUAUUUUUCUCCACUUGGAUCUUUUUAUUCUUCCGUGAAUGUAAGUCUGAAUCAUAAAUAUUUUAUGAAUACAGGAAUUGUUAGUAGCCCUAAAACAUGUUCUUGGAACAGAUUUCAAGAGGGGUUUAUUUCCUCUGAUUGACACACUAUUGGAGGAAAGGUAACACUGUUGACUCAAUCAUAUGGUGACCUCUAAUUGCCAAAACAAUGAUACAGAAAUUUCAUUGUCAAGCUGAGCUGGAUAAAUGCAAUAUCUUUAUAUAAUGUUGAAAAGAUAUUCUUGUUAGUAGUCUAAAAACAUGUUCUUGGAACAGAUUUCAAGAGGGGUUUAUUUCUUCUGUUAUGUAUUCAUGGUUAAACAAAAAGCAUCAUGUUGAAGAGAUGUAUAUAAAUCUGCUGCUAAUGGACAGAUGAAUACCAAAAUUUGACACGUAGUGUAGAUAAUAGAAUUACUCGUUUAAUUUUAUGGGAACUUUUGCCCCCACCUAAACGAUCCUUCUGCUGGAAAGUUCAUAUUGGUCGCCAUCAGAUUGAAAUAUUUUUUUGGCCGACAUGUUGAAUUUUAGAUUAAAAUAUGUUAAGAUUUUGAAUUUUAUUAGGGAAAGGGCCACGACAUGAUGGUUCUCCCCCCAAUCUGCUUCCCAUGUGAGCAGUUUUUUUUUAUCAUAUUUGUUGUUUUUGAUAAUGCACAACCUUCCAUUGGACAGAACUAUAGUGUUCAUUCCCACAUUUCUACUUUGGAGUUCUUCCUGACUUUUUAACUUUCAGAUACAAAUAAGAAUUAGCUAUUCCUCCUGAACUUAGAGAAGAUAGAAUAUUGUUAUAGCUGACUAUGCUUUGAUUUUUUUAGCCCUUUUCUUCUUUAACCUUUUCAGGGUUCUGGUUGGAAGUGGUCGAGCCUGCUUUGAGACAUUGAGGCCAUUGGCAUAUAGUCUACUUGCAGAGAUUGUUCAUCAUGUUCGUGCGGACCUUUCCUUGUCACAGGUAUUUCCUUUGUAUGAUAUCUAAUGUAAAACCAGUGUUAUCACUGUCUUGGCUUUGAUGAGGCUCAAUCCUAUUUAUCAUUAUACAACUUUCAUUCACUGUGUAUCGUACGGUUGUACAUCUUUAUCAUCAUCCUCCAUGGAUGAAUUUCAGGAAUUACCUAUGUUCACUUGAUUGUUGCACUUCUGCAAAGUGAGAGGAUGAUGAUGGUUUCGUAGUUGAUGGGUGGGAGUUUCGUGGUGAUGUUUGUUUUGCUAGUCUUGUGUCUGUAGUUGGUUUACCCUAUGUGUUGUGCUUAGUCUUAGGUGGACAGUUUGCCCAUCACUCUUUUACUUAGUUUCUUUGUUGUGAAGGUCAUUUUUCCUAUCUAAGAAAAGUUGAUUCAACCUGAAUCCUUAAAGGAACUUUCUUCAAGGUUAAGAUAUACGGCACUUACUGGUUGUCCUGCAUUAUGAUUAUGCUUUCAAAUAAGUCUUUUAUGACCCAAAGUAACCUUCCUUUUGUUGGAUUGAGAAAACACAGAGUCAAUCAAUUUCCAUGUCAUACAGGAGGGUAUAAUGCCUAUAAAGCUGUUGGAGAUCUGAGUGGCAAGAUUUAUACAGUUAUUCAUGCCCGAAGAGUCUUGCUACUACUGUAUUUCAAUUUUAUCCUCUUUAUCAUAUGCUUUUGUUGUUGUCAUGAUUUCUUAUCAAGUUUUUAUAAAUUUGAGAACUGAGGUAAAUACAUGAUACUGUUAGUAUGUACACUGAAAUUGGAAAUUAAAAAAAGGAAGCGACGAUGUCAAUCACAGGAAUUCGUAUGUUGUGGAUUACUUUUGAUUAUACUUCUUCUAUUUCAGGCUUUUAUUUGUUGUUUUCUCUUUAGGCGAUGAACUGCAAUGCUCAAUUUGGGCCUUCUAGAAGAAUAUAUGAAAGGAUAAUCAACCAAUUAACAAAAAGGCAUAAGACAAAGGAUAAUUAACUUAGUUACACAUACUUUGAAUUGUAAUUUAUCUCAAGUGUCAGCAUUUGCUUGUUUAACAGGUUUUUGUGUUUUUUAUUUUAUUUUUCCGUAAUGGUCAGUGGCUCAUUUGGCACUUUGUUUCUGUUUUAAUUUGAUUGCUUUAAAAUUUGAUUUUUGUUGAUGUGUAUCUUCACAGUUUUCAUCAUAACUUAAAUUAUCUUCUAACAUACUUACAUUAUGUGCUGCAGUUAUCCCGAAUCAUAUACUUGUUUUCGAGCAACAUGCAUGAUGCUUCAUUGUCACUGAGCAUUCAUACUACUUGUGCUCGCUUGAUGCUGAAUCUGGUGCAUAUGCUGACUCUAUUCUUCAAGAGAUUUUGCAGUUUUUAUUUUCAUUUGGGUAUUCAGUUAUAUUUAUAAAUUUGUUGGUACACAGGUGGAGCCAAUAUUUGAGAAAGGUGUCGACCAACCAUCUAUGGAUGAAGCACGGAUUCUAUUGGUCUGAGUUGCAAUCUAACUGUUUGCCUAGAAUGGUUUGAAUUGGUAAACUUUAUGAGUUUUCUCUUUCCUUUAGCUUAUAAAUUAUUAUGGUUCUUUGAAGGGGCGUAUAUUGGAUGCUUUUGUUGGAAAAUUUAGUACUUUCAAGCGGACUAUUCCUCAGGUAAUCUUUGACUGCUGUAGAUUUUCUCAACUGCAAGGGUCUCUUCUUUAUUUGAUAUUUUUGUUUCAUGUGGAAGCUUUUGUCUCGUCAUAUGGGCUAUGUAUUAGGAAAUAUUUUUGCUAACCACUUUAACCCAAGGUCUAUUAUCACCACCUUCUUAAUGCUUGACACAUGUCCAUAGGCAUAACCAUGGUUAACUUUUUACUUUGUAUUUAUGGAACCAUGGUUAUGCAUAUGGACAUGUGUCAAGUGUUGACAAGGGUGGUGAGGAUACACCUUGGGUUGGGUUAAAUUGGUGAGCAAAAAUGCUCUCCUAUGUAUUAUACAUAUAUAUAUUGUCUUUGUAUGGUUUAUGUUCUGCAGUAAAGGAGUUUUAUGUUACAUGUCAUAUUGUCUGUAGCUCAAAUAAUUAUCUUCUUGUUUUCCGACAAUGUAUUGAAAUAAUUUGGUUAAUUAUGUAUCGGGAAUGGUUGGUAGUCAAUUGACUGUUAUUAAGAUGCUAUUGGCUUUUGAGGUUCUUUGCAUUUGCUGAAAUCCAUCUUAUCCAGAUGCUAAUGAUCUUGGUUGAUUGAUUGUUGUAUCUUGCUUAUUUGUUGAUACUGACGUGUCUCUGUAUUUCCUGAUAGCUGUUGGAGGAGGCUGAGGAGGGAAAGGACCGUGCUACUCUAAGGUCAAAGCUUGAGCUCCCUGUGCAGGUAGUUUUGACAACUUCUCUUUGAGAUUACUGUUUGUGUAUGCAUAAUUUGUUUUAUGGUUUCUAGUUGUCCGUUUAAUUUUUUCUUGUACUCUCCACCUUUAAUUUUUUUAAUGCUAAAGUACAUCCUUUUUUUUUUUCUUCUAAAUGCUAACUGUAGAUUAUUCCCUAUGUUACACUUUAAAAGGUCAUAAAAAUGGUAUUAAAUAUGUUCAUCAUUGAGGAUUAAGCCGGUGGAUUUAUAAGUACUUUUCAGUUGCUCAUGGAAUCUAAAAGCCUAAAAGCCUUCAAUUUCCUUUUUAAAAUUUUCUGCAACUAUAAAGACAUUCGAGAAGGACGUUGCAGGUUUUGAAGGGUUUAAAAUACUGCUGACAUUAAUGCAUCUAUUAAGAAAGUUAGAUUGACAUUCCUUUUGAUAUGGAAGAAAAUGUAGACAUAUUGGGUGUAUUAGAAGAAUAACUUGAAAAUAGAUAUCCAUGCUUUGAAGUUUGUCUACUUACUUUUUGUCCAAUUCUUUAAUUGCUUGAUUAUAUAGCCACCCCACUCCCUUUCAUAAAACAUGGCAUUUAAAAAUAAAUAAAUUCUUUGGCAUAUCAUUUGUUUGCAGGCAGUUUUGAAUUUGCAGGUCACUGUCGAACAUUCUAAGGAAGUCAAUGAUUGUAAACAUCUGAUUAAGACAUUGGUCAUGGGUAAGUGAUCCUUCGUGUAAAUUUUUUUUUUCUGUGUCUCCACUUAUAGAUUAUAGUAUUACUUGUUUAAGGAAUCUGUGAUUUUAAGUUUCUUACACUUCUGAUAUGUUCUUGAGUGGUAUUGCUAAUUUUUUUUUCCUUCAUGCGCUGAUCAAUCUGUGCUGCAUAUAUUGUCAGGAAUGAAGACUAUCAUAUGGAGUAUUACCCAUGCACACUUGCCGCGAUCACAGGUAUUAUUAACUAUGUCAAUAGUUUGUUCUGACUUGCUUAACAUUUGUUAUCUUAUGCGACAUUUCUGAUGGUUUAAGGUUUCUGCUUCCACCCAUGGAACACACCCACAGGUGCUUGUUUCACCAUCAUCUAAUUUACCAGCGCCUCAAGCAUUUAAGGGGAUGCGAGAAGAUGAGGUAUUUUCAGAUUGAGUUAUGAAUUUUGGGGUUUGUUUUGUGGUUUGAUUCACUUGGUCUGACUUUGGUCUUGGGUAGGUUCGGAAGGCUUCUGGUGUUUUAAAGAGUGGGGUGCAUUGCUUGGCUCUCUUCAAGGAGAAAGAUGAGGAGAGGGAUAUGUUGCAACUCUUUUCCCAGAUUCUGGCUAUCAUGGAACCUCGAGAUUUAAUGGACAUGUUCUCGUUAUGUAUGCCUGAGCUUUUUGAGUGCAUGAUUUGCAACAACCAAUUGGUUCACAUAUUCUCUACACUUCUGCAAGCCCCUAAAGUAUAUCGGCCUUUUGCAGAUGUUUUGGUUAAUUAUCUUGUAAACAGUAAACUUGAUGUUCUGAAGCAUCCAGAUAAACCUGCAGCAAAACUAGUAUUGCAUCUCUUUCGGUUCAUAUUUGGCGCAGUUUCAAAGGCGCCUUCAGAUUUUGAACGUAUUUUGCAACCUCACGUGCCUGUUAUAAUGGAAGUUUGCAUGAAAAAUGCUACUGAAGUUGAAAAGCCUCUUGGUUAUAUGCAACUUCUUCGCGCAACGUUUCGAGCACUGGCUGUAUGCAAAUUUGAUCUUCUUAUGAGGGAUUUGAUUCCUAUGUUACAACCUUGUCUUAAUAUGCUGUUGAUGAUGCUUGAGGGUCCAACAGGGGAAGAUAUGAGCGACCUUUUGCUGGAGUUGUGCUUAACCUUGCCUGCACGCUUAAGCUCAUUGUUACCACACCUUCCCCGUCUUAUGAAGCCUCUUGUUUUGUGUCUUAAAGGAAGUGAUGAUCUUGUGGGCUUAGGUUUAAGAACACUGGAGUUUUGGGUAGAUAGUUUGAAUCCUGAUUUCUUGGAACCUAGCAUGGCUAAUGUAAUGUCUGAGGUGAUUUUGGCCCUAUGGUCUCACUUGAGGCCUGCUCCCCAUCCUUGGGGUGCAAAAGCAUUGCAACUCCUUGGCAAGCUAGGAGGUCGUAACAGGCGUUUUCUGAAAGAGCCCCUUGUACUUGAGUGCAAGGAGAACCCAGAGCAUGGACUCCGUGUGAUUCUUACAUUUGAGCCUGAAACCCCAUUUUUGGUGCCAUUGGAUCGAUGCAUUAAUCUUGCUGUGGUAGCUGUUAUGCACAAAAAUGGUGGAAUUGAUACUUUCUAUCGAAAACAGGCUUUGAAGUUUCUUCGUGUUUGCUUAUCAUCUCAGCUUAAUUUGCCAGAAAAGUUUACCGACAAUGGAUGCACACCUAGUCAGUUGUCAACUUUGUUAGUUUCUGCAGUUGAUUCUUCUUGGCAGCGGCCUGAAACAUCAGGAAUAAAGGUUGGUUUGGUUAAUGUUAUUACUUUGUAAAGUGCUGAAUGCUGAGCCUGCUAGUGAUUUGAACCUCAAGAUAAUUUUAUUUAUUUAUUGCCUUUUAUUGUAAUUUUAUUCACUGUUGGCUUUGAAGUUGGAAAAAUGAUGCUCGAACGUUGAUAAACAUUUUUGGGAUCCUGUUAUUGGUCUGCACCGUGGGUCCAUCUUUGUUCUUUAGCACUUUACCUAGAACAUGCUACGAGUUAAUGCACAAGUGAACUCCAUGUAUUAGAAUAUACCUAUGUGGGUAUUAAUUAUCUGUAUUACACCUUGACUUUUACACCUUAGUUUAUUAUGUCUCAUCUUUUAGAAACUUUAUUGUCCAGAUAUUUCCCCCCCUUCCCCCGACCAAUUAAAAGUAAUAAUAAUAAAAGAAUAAGAAUACUCUGUUAAUGGUUAGAUGCAUUUUAUUUUCUUAUUGUCUGUGGCAAUUUAUUUUCUUAACCUGUCCUUUAAUUUUCUUCCCGCUGAAUUUUUGUUUUCAGAUGCCCCACAAUGGGAAAUAAAAUAGAAAAAUAGUAUUACGUUAUAAUAAAUUUAGACAUAAUUGCAGGCUGACUUAGGUGUAAAGACGAAGACCCAACUUAUGGCUGAAAAGUCAGUUUUCAAGAUUCUCUUAAUGACUGUUAUUGCUGCCAGCGUGGAACCAGAUUUCCAAGACCCCAAGGAUGACUUUGUUGUCAAUGUAUGCCGCCAUUUUGCAAUGAUGUUCCAUAUUGAUUCAUCCUUAACAAAUACUGCAGUUGCAACUGCUACACUUGGGGGCCCUAUGCUUUCGUCAAAUGCCAAUGUUGGUUCCAGUUCCAGGUCAAAGAAUAGUAGUUCAUCAAACCUCAAAGAGUUGCACCCUCUGAUAUUUUUAGAUGCUCUAGUUGAUGUGCUAGCAGAUGAAAACAGGCUCCAUGCCAAGGCUGCACUUAGUGCUUUAAAUGUUUUCUCUGAGACACUUCUUUUUCUUGCUCGCUCAAAGCAUGCUGAUGUGCCAAUGUCAAGAGGCCCUGGUACUCCAAUGAUGGUCUCUAGUCCGUCAUUGAAUCCCGUAUACUCUCCUCCUCCAAGUGUUCGCAUCCCUGUUUUCGAGCAACUUCUGCCCCGUCUUUUGCAUUGUUGCUAUGGGACAACAUGGCAAGCGCAGAUGGGAGGUGUUAUGGGACUUGGUGCUUUGGUUGGAAAGGUUACUGUUGAGACCCUGUGCCUUUUCCAAGUAAGAAUUGUGCGUGGUUUGGUAUAUGUUCUUAAAAGGCUUCCUAUUUAUGCUAGCAAAGAGCAAGAAGAGACGAGUCAGGUGCUUACACAGGUUCUUCGCGUAGUUAAUAAUGUUGAUGAAGCAAACAGUGAACCACGCCGGCAAAGUUUUCAAGGAGUAGUUGAUUUCCUUGCUACAGAAUUGUUUAAUCCAAAUGCAUCUGUUAUCGUCAGAAAGAAUGUGCAGUCAUGUUUGGCACUUUUGGCUAGUAGAACUGGUAGUGAGGUAUCUGAGCUGCUUGAACCAUUAUAUCAAAAUUUGCUUCAGCCUCUUUUGGUGCGAUCACUCCGGUCAAAAACUGUUGAUCAACAGGUAAUCUAUGUUGCUAAUGGUCAUUAGUGGGAUGUGUUGAAUUUCUUUUUGACUUGAUCUGGUGGUAUACAGGUGGGAACAGUUACAGCUUUAAACUUCUGCCUUGCCUUGAGGCCACCUCUUCUCAAGCUGACUCAAGAAUUGGUUAAUUUUCUCCAAGAAGCAUUGCAAAUAGCUGAGGCCGAUGAAACUGUAUGGGUUGUGAAAUUUAUGAACCCAAAGGUGGCAACAUCACUAAACAAGCUUCGAACAGCCUGCAUUGAGCUACUCUGUACUACUAUGGCGUGGGCAGAUUUCAAAACUCCUAAUCAUUCAGAACUGCGUGCAAAGAUCAUUUCCAUGUUUUUCAAAUCUUUGACAUGUCGAACACCUGAAAUUGUUGCUGUGGCUAAGGAAGGCUUGCGACAGGUCUUGUUUCCUUUUAAAUUAGUCAAUCUAUAUGGUUUUUGCUCGUCUUACUGUAAUACAUGUCUGAAUGUAUAAUGAUCGAUGACUAUGAUGAUUAUCCUAGGAAAGCACUGGCCUCUGUUUUUAGGUUUCACAUUAGGGAUCACUUAUCGUAGCUUGUCUAUUUGACUGGUGAUGUUACUUAUGUAUCAUGUUUUGUUUUGGUUUGUUAAGACAUGGUGGAUGAUUUAUAAAGUUGGGGUUUUUUAAGAAGUCUUUUUAUUAUUUUUAAAUGUACUCUAUUCCAUUUCUUAUGAGAAAACAAACUCUACUCCAUUGCCAUGCAGGUUAUUAAUCAGCAGAGGAUGCCAAAAGAACUUCUGCAGAGCAGCCUCAGGCCUAUUUUGGUGAACUUGGCACAUACGAAGAAUCUGAGCAUGCCUCUUCUGCAAGGUCUGGCCCGUCUUCUUGAACUUCUGUCCAAUUGGUUUAAUGUUACCUUGGGCGGCAAAUUGCUGGAACACCUAAAGAAAUGGUUAGAGCCUGAAAAACUUGCACAAAGCCAGAAAUCAUGGAAAGCUGGUGAAGAGCCCAAAAUUGCAGCUGGUAAUAUAUUUUUGGUUGUCCACUUUUGGUCAUCAGUUCUUGUAUACCUACGCAUACGCAUGAUUACAGAUGAUAUGAUGUCAAAUUUGUGUUCUUUUCAGCUAUUAUCGAGCUUUUUCACCUUCUUCCUGUGGCUGCAUCAAAAUUCCUUGAUGAACUUGUAACCUUGACUAUAGAAUUGGAAGGAGCACUUCUUCCGGGACAAGUAUACAGUGAGAUUAACAGUCCAUAUCGUCUUCCACUGACAAAAUUUUUGAAUCGCUAUGCAACACUUGCAGUUGAUUAUUUUCUUGCUCGCUUAAGUGAACCAAAGUACUUCAGGAGGUAAUGUGUGGAUGCGAUAUACAUAUACAUAUAUAGUUAUGACCUCUUGGCCAUCAUUAACCAUGAAAUCCACGGUCACUAGCAGUUGGAUCAAAAUAUGAUGGUUGACAUUAAUUCCCAAAAGUAAAAUACUGGACUUAAACAAAUUUGAAUGCCAAUUGUUGAAUUUUGAUCCAGCGGUUGGUGUCCAUGGACGUUUUCAUGGUCAAUGGUGACCAAGUGAUCUAAAAACUCCCUGCCUCUAUAAAUAAAUGUGUAUGUCUAAAUAUAUUGAGAGAUGUAUUUAUCCUAUCAUUAUGAUGAAAUUUUCAAAUAUGUAUAAAUCUCAUGGAAUUUUGUUUCUAAAUUGCCAAUUCCCUUUAGAUGCAUUUAUUUGAUUUUGUCAUAUAAUCUAUAGGUUUAUGUAUAUAAUCCGAUCGGAUGCUGGCCAGCCUUUGAGAGAUGAACUUGCUAAAUCACCACAGAAAAUACUUGCAAGCGCUUUUCCUGAAUUUUUGCCAACUGCUUCGGGAUCGUCAACUCCUACCGCUUUGUUGGGUGAUGAAGGUCUUGUUAAGCCUGUACCUGAUAGUUCUAAUCCACCAUCUGCACAUCCUGGUGCAACACCAGAUGCUUAUUUUCGGGGACUUGCACUUAUCAAAACUUUAGUCAAAUUGAUACCUGGCUGGCUACAGAGUAACCGAAUUGUGUUUGAUACCUUGGUACUUGUUUGGAAGUCACCUGCAAGACUAUCUCGUCUACAUAAUGAACAGGAGCUGAACUUAGUGCAGGUUAGUUUAGUGGCUUGUUAUACAGAAGCUGUAUACUUUCUUUGUUGGUUAUCUUUUGGGUAAUUUUUUAUUUUUUGAAAACUAGCAAUACUAUUGGGUAAUAUUAAGAUAGGGGAAACCCACCGACUUUGUCUCUUAUGCAAAUUAUGUGACCUUUUGAGAGUUUAAUUUCUUUUUUUUCCCCCGAUUACUUCUUGCUGUUUGGAGUGUUGAUGCAUGUUGAAUUUUGCUUGUUGAAAUAUCAAAUAUCACUUUUGACUUGCUGUUAAAUUUUAUAAAUUUCUCUCCGUUAUUCUUUAACUUUCUGUGUGUAUCAAUUAAUAUGCGUCAUCAGAUCUUGUUUGUUUUCUAAUGUUUCUAAAAUGCAGGUUAAAGAAAGCAAAUGGCUUGUCAAAUGCUUCCUGAAUUAUUUACGACAUGACAAAACAGAAGUGAAUGUUCUCUUUGAUAUACUCUCCAUCUUCUUGUUUCAUACUCGAAUUGAUUUUACAUUUCUGAAGGAGUUUUAUAUCAUCGAGGUACUUUGAAUACAGGUUCUUUAAAUUUACGUUGUUUUUAUGUUAUUUGUGUUGACUGUUUGUGAAACAAUCAUCGUCUCUUUUCAGGUUGCAGAAGGAUAUCCACCGAACUUUAAGAAAGCACUUCUCUUGCAUUUUCUAAAUCUUUUCCAGUCAAAACAACUUGGCCACGAUCAUCUGGUGGUUAUUAUGCAAAUGCUCAUUCUUCCGAUGUUGGCUCAUUCCUUCCAAAAUGAUCAAAGUUGGGAAGUUGUUGACCAAUCUAUUAUAAAAACGAUUGUUGAUAGACUUCUCGAUCCUCCAGAAGAGGUAUACUUUUUGAAAGAAUUAAAUGUCUCCAGCGCCCCUAUAUCUUAUCUUAUUUUCUUGGUGCUGUUUUUAAAUUGUCCCUAUAUUUUGGGCUGAAGUUCAUUUUGUUUCUAUAUCUUACCAAUUUCGUACUUCCAUAGGUUUCUGCUGAAUAUGACGAGCCCUUGAGAAUAGAACUUUUGCAGCUUGCCACUUUGCUUCUCAAGUAUCUGCAGAAUGACCUUGUCCAUCAUAGGAAAGAACUUAUCAAAUUUGGUUGGAAUCAUCUCAAACGCGAAGAUAGUGCCAGUAAACAGUGGGCAUUUGUAAAUGUUUGCCACUUCUUGGAGGCCUAUCAAGCCCCAGAAAAAAUCAUACUCCAGGUAUGGCACAUUAUGGACAUGAUAUCAAUUUGAAUGUCCUGUUGGCACAAGGUUUUAACCUGUUAUUGGCAUUAAGUUUUACUGCUUUGAAAUUUAGGUUUUCAUGCUGUAUUUGUCAUGUAAAAAGAUCUCAGUUUUUGUGUUUAUUAUUUAUGCUGACACAAUUUUGCUUGGGAAUGGGAAUGACAUCAAUACUUUAAUUCAAAGCAAUUUACCAAAUAUUGGAUUGUUAGAGUGGUCUAUUUAUACUUGUUCUCUGUCUAACUGGAGCCCAUGAGCAUGUGAUGAGAGCACUCACAACCCAAAUAUGCUCAUAACUUUGGGUUCAAAUUGAGUAAUUUAUUAAAAUGAAAGUUAUCUUAAUUUAGUAUCUGGGCGUUGAUUUGAGAAUGCAGGUUUUUGUAGCGCUUCUGAGAACUUGCCAGCAAGAGAAUAAAAUGCUGGUCAAGCAGGCCCUCGAUAUACUAAUGCCAGCACUGCCACGUAGGUUGCCGCUUGGAGAUUCUCGCAUGCCAAUUUGGAUACGGUACACCAAAAAAAUUUUGGUCGAGGAAGGCCACUCAAUCCCUAAUCUGAUUCACAUCUUCCAGCUUAUUGUGCGCCAUUCAGAUCUCUUUUACAGCUGUAGAGCUCAAUUUGUACCUCAGAUGGUCAAUUCUCUUAGUCGCCUUGGAUUGCCUUACAACACUUCUGCAGAAAACAGGCGUCUCGCAAUUGAACUUGCUGGCUUGGUGGUUGGCUGGGAAAGACAAAGGCAAAAUGAAAUGAAAAUAGUAGUGGAUGGUGAUGUCACCAAUCAGAACAGUGAGGGUUUUAAUCCAGGCCCUGCUGGUGCUGAUCCUAAGCGCUCUGUGGAUGGGUCUACAUUUCCUGAAGAUUCAACGAAGCGUGUCAAAGUUGAACCUGGUCUUCAAUCCCUCUGUGUGAUGUCUCCUGGUGGUGCAUCAUCAAUACCUAACAUUGAGACCCCUGGAUCUGCUAGCCAACCUGAUGAAGAAUUCAAGCCAAAUGCUGCUAUGGAGGAAAUGAUUAUCAAUUUCCUUAUAAGGGUAAAGUCCUUUCAACUCAUUACUCAUGUUUUCAUGUAUGAGCGAGAUUUUUUGAAAAUACUUUAUCUUUGUAUUCAAUACCUCAUUAAUUUGGCGUAUAGAAGAAACCUCUAAGCUUUCUGGCGGUGAUGCUCUCCAUCUUGGCACUCCUUCCAUGGAUGUUUUAGACAAAGAAAAAAGAUGACUGCUAUCUUAGACUUUGGCAUCUUUUACUCAAUAAAUAAUUCAAUUUUGUUCUAUGGUGGUUUUUGUUUCUCUAGGUUUAUAGUACAAGUGUUAUAUGUAAUUGAAGAGGUAAUUUUUCAUUAAGUCGCCGAUGAUGACAGUCUCUGUACUUCUGUUUGUAGUUCCAUGUUCUGCAUCAAAGCUUGUCAUGAUUUGUUCAUUUGAUGGUUAAUUGUCUCAGCACUUUAUUGACUUUUGGAAACAGGUUGCCUUGGUCAUAGAGCCUAAGGACAAGGAAGCAAGUACUAUGUACAAACAAGCUUUAGAGCUACUUUCACAAGCUUUGGAGGUGUGGCCAACUGCCAAUGUUAAGUUUAAUUAUUUAGAGAAGUUGCUAAGCAGCAUUCAACCUCAGUCCAAGGACCCUUCCACAGCCCUCGCGCAGGGCUUGGAUGUUAUGAAUAAGGUCCUAGAGAAGCAGCCACAUCUAUUCAUCAGAAAUAAUAUCAACCAAAUUUCUCAGGUAUGUUCUUACACUGUCAUCUGUUUUUCAUUUUCACAAAGUCUACUAUUACCUAGACUUAUGCACUCAACUUCAGUUGUGUUGGUUUUUUUUUUGGACAGAUUCUUGAACCAUGUUUCAAGUAUAAACUGUUGGAUGCUGGAAAGUCAUUGUGCUCCCUGUUGAAAAUGGUCUUUGUUGCUUUUCCUCCAGAAGCAGCUACUACACCACAAGAUGUGAAGCUAUUAUAUCAUAAGGUUGAUGAACUAAUACAGAAGCACAUCAAUACUGUUACAGCUCCUCAAACAUCGAGUGAAGAGAGCACUGCUAAUUCAAUUAGCUUUGUGCUGCUUGUGAUUAGAACCUUGACAGAGGUGCAGAAGAACUUUGUUGAUCCUUACAUCUUGGUUCGUAUUCUUCAACGCCUGGCACGGGAUAUGGGGUCAUCCGCAGGUUCUCAUUUGAGACAAGUAUGUAUCUGUUUUCUCAUAUGUUUACCUCUUUCAUGUUUCAUAAAUUAAUGCUUCAUUAAGGUGAAAAUUUUAUUUGAUUCCUGAUCUUUUUUCUUUCUUAUUUCUCUUUGUUUGCCUUGCUGCUAUGUGGAUUACGCUUCCUAUUCUGUUCAUAUCAGGUGUCAUCAAUGUGCUUUUCUUUGUUUCUUCUUGUUUGGUCACUGUUUUUAAAACACAGCAUUGUGUUCUCUAUUCUUGGUGUUUGAAUUUAGAUUUUCUGUUGCAUGCAAGUAGUGGGACGGUUCUAUAAACUUUAUUUGUGUGCAUAACCAUUUAAGAUACAAAGUAUAUCUUUUCUCUUUGUUUUUCCCCUGUUGUUUUUUUGGUUGUGGGUGUAUGAUAAAAGUUUAAAGUCAUCACAUACAAUUUGCUACAUUAGAAAUAUUCUUAGAAAGUUACAUUUAUAUGUAUGAGGCAAACUUUACUGCUAAAGUUUGAUCGAGUUUUGUACAAUAAGGCUCUGAGGCUUCAUUCAAGGGUAGAACCAUGACAAAAAAUCAACCCAAGCACACAUGUGAUUUGACAUAAUUGACCUUUGUCUACUGAUUCUUUUUUUCUUUUCAACUAUAGAACAAACUCUCGUCUGUGAGAUUUGAACUCAGGCCAUCAAGGUAGAGACAAAUGCCACUAACUAAAUGGUCAUUGUUAAUCUUAUUCUACUAAAGAGGGCGCUGGUUUUAAGUUGUACUGUUUAAUUUUUUAUGUUCAGCCCCCGUAAUGGACUUAUUUCAUCUAGAAGGGUUCAAUACACUUCCGUUUUUUUCCAAAUGAUUAUAUUUUGGAAUGAACAUUUGUGUUUAUAGUUUGUUUUAUGAUGUUUUAAAAUUUGAUAACAUCCCUUCUCUCUUUCGUUGAAUUAUAUAUAGCAAAAAUUGUCUUCUUUCAGGGUCAGACAAAAGAUCUAGAUUCUGCAGUCUCCUCUUCUCGUCAAGGUGCCGAUGUUGGAGCAGUUAUUUCUAAUCCGAAAUCUGUGAUAGAUUCUGCAGUCUCCUCUUCUCGUCAAGGUGCCGAUGUUGGAGCAGUUAUUUCUAAUCUGAAAUCUGUGCUGAAACUUAUUAGUGAAAGGGUCAUGAUUGUUCCAGAUUGCAAAAAAUCUGUAACUAACAUAUUGAAUACCUUGCUUGCUGAGAAAGGUACUGAUGCUACCGUGCUGCUUUGCAUACUUGAGGUAAUAAAAGGGUGGAUUGAAGAUGACUUCGGAAAGCCAGGCACAUCUGUCAGUUCAAAUGCUUUUCUCACUCCGAAGGAAAUAGUUUCCUUUCUUCAAAAGCUUUCACAGGUUGAUAAACAAAACUUCUCAAAUGCUCUGGAAGAAUGGGACAGUAAAUAUCUUCAGCUUCUCUAUGGAUUAUGUGCAGAUUCAAAUAAGUAAGUAAUAUACUUCAGUUCACUUUUGUUAUACUUGAAUAAAAGGAGAUAAUUAAAUGAUUUGAUCAAUGUCCAGAUAUCCCCUAUCCCUGCGUCAAGAGGUGUUUCAGAAAGUGGAAAGGCAAUUCAUGCUUGGUUUACGGGCAAGAGAUCCUGAAUUCAGGAUGAAAUUCUUCUCGCUUUAUCAUGAAUCUCUUGGGAAAACAUUGUUUGCUAGGCUUCAGUACAUUAUUCACCUCCAGGAUUGGGAAGCCUUGAGUGAUGUCUUCUGGCUCAAACAGGGCCUUGAUCUUCUUUUAGCAAUCUUAGUCGAGGAUAAAGCUAUUACUCUUGCUCCAAAUUCUGCAAAGGUGCCACCACUUCUGGUUUCAGGUUCUCCAGACCCAUCCGGGAUGCAGCACCAGGUCACUGAUAUUCCAGAGGGUUCCGAGGAUGCUCCUCUAACAUUUGACACCCUUGUUCAUAAGCACGCACAUUUUUUGAAUGAGAUGAGCAAACUCAAGGUAAGGCUUGUGCAUUAUUUGUACAUUUGGAGAAACUAUUCUGUGACUGCAGCACCAUGUCACAUGCUGACAUGGUGUUACGAGUCCCAGUACACAUGUUAUAAUUUGGAUGGACUUGUAAUACCACGUCAGCAUGCCAUGUGGUGUCAGAGUCACAUACAAGAAUGUAUGGUUUCUAGCAUCUCCCCUCUCCCACUCUUGCACUCCCAGAGUUUGUUACUAAUUAAUUCUGCUUUGAAAGUCGUGGGUGGUAAACCAUAUCUCUCGACAAGCUUGAGUUAUUGAUUGAUAGUCUGACCUUUUUUUUUUUAAUUUUUUAAUUUUUCCUCUGUUUUAGGUGGCUGAUCUUAUUAUUCCACUGAGAGAGCUUGCUCAUAUGGAUGCCAAUGUCGCAUACCAUUUAUGGGUGUUGGUGUUUCCCAUUGUCUGGGUGACCUUACACAAGGAAGAGCAGGUUGCACUAGCUAAACCAAUGAUUACCCUCCUUUCAAAAGAUUAUCAUAAGAAGCAGCAAGGCAGCAGACCAAAUGUUGUGCAAGCCCUUCUGGAAGGGCUUCAGUUGAGCCACCCUCAACCUCGGAUGCCAAGUGAGCUCAUUAAAUAUAUUGGAAAAACUUACAAUGCAUGGCACAUAGCAUUGGCACUGCUGGAAAGUCAUGUUUUGUUGUUCACAAAUGAUGCGAAGUGCUCUGAGUCCCUUGCUGAACUUUAUCGCUUGCUCAAUGAAGAAGAUAUGAGGUGUGGGCUGUGGAAGAAAAGGCCAAUCACUGCUGAAACUAGGGCCGGUCUUUCGCUAGUUCAGCAUGGCUACUGGCAGCGUGCUCAAAGCCUCUUUUACCAAGCAAUGGUUAAGGCAACUCAAGGCACAUAUAACAACGCAAUACCAAAGCCCGAGAUGUGUCUCUGGGAAGAACAAUGGCUGUGCUGUGCUACUCAACUUAGUCAAUGGGAUGCAUUGGUAGACUUUGGCAAGAGCGUUGAGAAUUAUGAAAUACUACUCGACAGUCUUUGGAAAUUGCCUGAUUGGGCAUAUAUGAAGGAUCAUGUAAUGACAAAGGCUCAGGUGGAAGAAACUCCAAAACUUCGGCUCAUACAAGCAUUUUUUGCGCUUCAUGAAAGAAAUUCCAGUGGUGUCGGGGAUGCUGAGAACAUUGUGGGGAAAGGUGUAGAUCUUGCCUUGGAUCAGUGGUGGCAGUUGCCACAGAUGUCUGUCCAUGCCAGGAUUCCUCUUUUACAGCAAUUCCAACAGCUAGUUGAAGUUCAAGAGUCAUCUAGAAUUCUUGUGGACAUUGCCAAUGGAAACAAACUUUCUGGGAAUUCCGUAGUUGGUGUGCACGGAAAUCUGUAUGCCGAUCUCAAGGACAUUCUUGAGACUUGGAGACUGAGAACUCCAAAUGAAUGGGAUAACAUGUCUGUUUGGUAUGAUUUACUACAAUGGAGGAACGAAAUGUAUAAUGCAGUCAUAGAUGCAUUCAAAGAUUUCACGACAACAAAUAAUAAUCUUCAUCACCUUGGUUAUCGUGACAAAGCUUGGAACGUCAAUAAGCUUGCCCGUGUUGGUCGUAAGCAAGGCCUAUAUGAUGUUUGCGUGAUAAUACUUGAAAAGAUGUAUGGCCAUUCAACGAUGGAAGUGCAGGUAUUUAAAAAUAUAACAAAUAUAUUGUAUUGGGCUUAGGAAGACAUCACUCUUACUUUUUUACACCAAUCAAACAAAGUACAAGCAAAAACAUGUGUGUUGAACCUUUAUGGGCAUUUACUACAAGCCUAGAAGACCCUUUAUGAAUGACUUUAUUCUGGGGGUUACUAGCUGAGUUGUUGAAAGCCCUCAAUUUAUGAUUUUUCGUUUCUUGUAUUUGGUUCUUGUAACUUCUAACAAUGUUCAUUAUGUUAACGUAUCAAUUUGAACCUUUUGGAGGUAAUGUUGCAUGAACCUUGUCCUCCUGAGCUUGUGUUUUGUACUUGUUGACUGUACUACGUUAUUUUGGUAAUUUUCUUUCAUAAACUACUUUCGUUUUAAUAGAUGCAGGUUUCUAAUCCCUUUCCGUGUAUGCUACCAGGAGGCCUUUGUUAAGAUAAGAGAACAAGCAAAAGCUUAUUUGGAAAUGAAAGGAGAGCUUGCUAGUGGUCUCAAUUUAAUCAACAGCACUAAUCUGGAGUAUUUUCCUGUGAAACAUAAAGCAGAAAUAUUUCGUCUGAAGGGGGAUUUCUUGUUAAAGUUAAAUGACUCUGAAGGUGCUAAUCUUUCAUACUCCAAUGCCAUCAGCCUGUUCAAAAAUUUGCCUAAAGGAUGGAUAAGCUGGGGAAAUUACUGUGACAUGGUAUUUCAUGUUUGUGCUUCAAAUGUAUUUAAUAAUAUUGGUGUUUUUAUUUGUGAGGGCUUAUCUGCUAAACUAUUUUGCACAGGCUUACAGAGAAACCAAUGACGAGAUGUGGUUGGAGUAUGCUGUGAGCUGCUUUCUUCAAGGCAUCAAAUUUGGCAUAUCUAACUCAAGAAGUCAUCUUGCUCGUGUUUUAUAUCUUCUCAGCUUUGAUACUCCCAAUGAACCUGUCGGGAAAGCUUUUGAUAAAUAUCUUGACGAAAUUCCGCACUGGGUCUGGCUUUCUUGGAUUCCACAGCUCUUACUUUCUUUGCAGAGGGCAGAAGCUCUCCACUGCAAACUCGUCCUACUAAAAAUCGCCACUGUGUAUCCGCAGGUAAAAUGUCCUGUUAUAUUUGUGAAAGGAGAAGAAAUUUAAAACAGUACUUCCCUUCCAACAGAAAUAUUGAUGUUCUCUUGCAUUAAAAUCUCAGGCUCUAUAUUACUGGCUGCGCACGUAUUUGCUUGAACGACGCGAUGUUGCAAAUAAAACUGAACUUGGUAGUAGAAUGGCAAUGGCUCAAAGGAUGCAGCAAAGUGCCUCUGGUGCCAGUGCUGUUUCAAUCGGCUUAGUUGAUGGGAAUGCUAGAGUGCAAGGUCAUAGUGGCAGUAACUUAUCCUCAGACAACCAAGUUCACCAAGCUGCUCAAUCCGGUGGCGGAAUUGGUUCUCAUGAUGGUGGAAACUCUCAUGGGCAAGAAUCUGAAAGGUCCACAGGUGUCGAGAGUGGCAUCCAUACGGGGAAUGAGCAACAAAGUUCUUCAACCAUCAAUGAUGGUGGUCAAAGUGCAUUAAGGCGCAAUGGUGCUCUGGGUUCGGUACCUUCUGCUGCAAGUGCUUUUGAUGCUGCAAAAGAUAUAAUGGAGGCUCUUAGAAGCAAGCAUACUAAUUUGGCUAGUGAACUCGAGGUGUGAUAUUUCCGUCUCAUAUUUAUUAAGUUAAAUAUUUGAUUUACUUUUGUUAUGUAGCAGUUUUACUUUAUAUUUUUUUAUUAGUAAGUCAAUUUUAUUAAUUUUAAUUAGUGGAGAUCGAAACUUUAACUCUUAUACAACUACUGUCUAAGGCAACUCCAUAAAAGAAUCAAAAGAGAGGCUCCAUGUGAUCCAAAAAGACAGGGUGAGCAGAAUGGAAUGCUUCAGGACUCUAAUUGCGGCCUUUGGAUUCUCAAAUCAUCUAAUAAUAUUCUUUUGCAAUUCACACCCAGGGAGCCAUGUGAUAGAACGACCUACUAACAUUCUAUUAAGACAAACUUUUUGUGUUGCUAAGAAGCUAGCCAUACAUAGUAUACCAAAAUGUUUAAUCUUGUUUAAGACUGCUCAUAUGGAGAAAGCAUAUUGAAGAAAAAAAGGAGUCAUAUCUUGGUCUUUUUGAUCAACUAGAUGAUAUAUUUGUUUCUUUUUUCUUUCUGAGUGCAGACUCUGCUGACUGAAAUUGGUUCAAGGUUUGUCACUCUGCCAGAGGAGAGACUUCUAGCUGUUGUUAACGCACUGCUUCAUCGAUGUUACAAGUACCCAACUGCCACAACAGCUGAGGUUCCCCAAUCUCUUAAGAAGGAGCUCUCUGGUGUUUGCAGAGCUUGCUUUUCACAAGAUGCUGUGAAUAAGCACGUUGAAUUUGUGAGAGAGUAUAAACAGGAUUUCGAGCGUGAUCUUGAUCCUGGGAGCACUACUACUUUCCCGGCUACCCUCUCUGAAUUGACUGAGCGGUUAAAACAUUGGAAAAAUGUCCUCCAGAGCAAUGUUGAGGACAGGUUUCCAGCUGUCUUGAAGCUGGAAGAGGAAAGCAGGGUGUUGCGCGAUUUCCAUGUCGUUGAUGUAGAGGUUCCAGGACAAUACUUCAAUGAUCAGGUAAUCAAAUCAGUGUUUGCACAUUUCUGCUCCUAUCAUUGGGAUCCUGGCUUUAUUGUUUAUUCAUUAUGAUUUAACUGAUUGGUCUUCCUGUAUGACUGUCAUUGGAUAAAUGGAGAUGGUAGUAUCCCAAGCUGAUUCUAUCAUGUUAAAUGACUGUCAAGCUUCUUAAAAACAAGCCAGUUUUAUGAUCAAGUUCAUUCAAUAUUCUAUUUGAUUUCUCAAUGCAUUUUCUUAAAUAUAAAAACAUGAUUGUAAUGAUCGCAGGAAAUUGCACCUGACCAUACAGUAAAGUUAGACAGGGUUGGAGCUGAUAUACCAAUUGUGCGAAGACAUGGAAGUAGUUUCCGUCGUUUGACUUUAAUUGGCUCGGAUGGAUCUCAACGUCAUUUUAUUGUCCAGACAUCUUUGACUCCUAAUGCUAGGAGUGAUGAACGAAUAUUGCAGCUUUUCCGUGUGAUGAACCAAAUGUUUGAUAAGCACAAGGAAUCAAGGCGACGCCACAUAUCUAUUCACACCCCAAUCAUCAUUCCUGUUUGGUCUCAGGUUUAUCCCUAUACGCAUUUGAAGGAAUUAGAUUUUAUCUUCCCUCUCUUGUGUGUGUGUGUGGAAAAAGAAAAGGGCAGGAAAUUUGUUCCGGCCAUGUAUAUAAAGCAUGUGUGAUCAUUUGACUUAUCUACAUUUAAUAGUAUAGCUACUCAUACAUAUUCACUUUUUAUAACUCCCGCCUUGAAGACAUCUCAGCAGUUUAUAGUCAGUUUGGGAUUCAGUUCCCCUUGUACUCAACUAUUUCUGUAUGUGCAGGUCCGCAUGGUAGAAGAUGAUUUGAUGUAUAGCACCUUUCUUGAGGUGUAUGAGAACCAUUGUGCAAGGAACGACAAGGAAGCGGAUCUUCCCAUCACCUAUUUUAAGGAGCAAUUGAACCAAGCUAUAUCUGGCCAAAUCUCACCAGAAGCUGUCGUAGACCUUCGCCUCCAAGCUUAUAAUGACAUAACAAGAAAUCUUGUAACUGAUGGCAUUUUUUCGCAAUACAUGUACAAGACUCUGCUAAAUGGCAACCAUAUGUGGGCUUUCAAAAAGCAGUUUGCCAUCCAGCUGGCCCUCUCAAGUUUCAUGUCUCUCAUGCUACAAAUUGGUGGGAGGUCGCCAAAUAAAAUUCUAUUUGCUAAGAACACAGGCAAAAUAUUUCAAACUGAUUUUCAUCCAGCAUAUGAUGCAAAUGGAAUGAUCGAGUUUAAUGAACCAGUACCAUUUCGUCUUACGAGGAACAUGCAAGCCUUCUUCUCCCAUUUUGGAGUGGAAGGUCUCAUUGUGUCUGCAAUGUGUGCUGCUGCACAGGCUGUUGUUUCACCUAAAGUGAGUUUUUUGUUGGCAGUUGCUUUCAGUAUGAGGAUUAAUCAGAUCUAAGUUGAGAAUGAAGAAAGAAAAAGAAAUUAUUUGUAUCCUAAUUCUCAAUUUUCCUGUAUUGCAGCAAAGUCAACAUCUGUGGCAUCAGUUGGCUAUGUUCUUCCGUGACGAGCUGCUGUCUUGGUCUUGGAGAAGACCCCUUGGCAUGCCUAUGGCCCCAUUUGCUGGGGGGGGUAGUAUGAACCCCGCUGACUUUAAGCAGAAGGUCAUCACCAAUGUCGAGCAUGUUAUUGGCCGGAUCAAUGGAAUUGCCCCACAGUACUUUUCUGAAGAGGUAAGUCAGGGCCUCCAAUCUUAUAGUAGCAUAGAGCUUUGUCACUUGCAAUGAUGUCAAUUAAAUGCCCCUCUUGAAAUGAGAAAGAAAAAAAAAUUGCAUUCUUUUCCUUUCCCUUGUCUUUUCAAAUAGACUUCAGGACGAUGGUGGGCUGAAUUUUUUUUUCUUUAAUAUUUUAGGUUUAAUUGGUUUUCAAAUUUGGUUCAGAAUCUGGAAAUGAUUGCUAAUUUAACCGCCCCUAAGAGUGUGUUGUGUUUUCUGCUGCAUUCAGGAGGAUAAUGCCAUGGAACCACCACAGUCGGUGCAGCGCGGAGUGACUGAGUUGGUUGAAGCUGCCUUGACUCCGAGGAACUUGUGCAUGAUGGAUCCGACGUGGCACCCCUGGUUUUGAAGUUAGCACCGGAGGUUCUAGAGUUAAAAAUAUGGUAUAUUUUGCUCGGACGGUUUCCUGUUGUAAAUAUUUAUCGUGUACAUAUCGGUGCUCUUAUAGUGAUUUUGAGAAGUCAUUCCCCAUAAUUAUAUUUUUGACACCCAAUUUGGAAAGAAUUGAGUGGGGUGUUGAACAUGUAAAUCACAAAUUCAUAUGUAAAUCACAUCUAGGAGUAAAGAUUUGGUUCUAGGGUUUUAGGUAUCUCAUUGACGAGGAUCCAUAUAUUAUACAAAUGAAAUGCGUCAUCGUUCCUUUGCAAGGAAUUUUGUUUUUGGUUAAAACUAUUGAAAUGCAGUUACCGUAUUUGAGAUAUCAUUUCUUUGCAGUGAUCUUUUAUAUAGAUAUAUAUUUCCUUUCUGUAAAUGGAUGAAUAUUACCGCAAUGGGUAAAACCAGGGCAACAAAGAAAGAAACAAAGAUCAAGCAAACAAGAAAAGGUUCUUAUUAAUCAACAACAAGAACUACCAAGAACCAAAGGAGAUUUUUUCAGGUUAUGAUUUUCCUACUCUCUUUUUGUCCACUUACUCUCUUUUGUUUGUUAAUAUUUUUUAUUAUAACAAAAAAAAAGUGUAAGCAGAUUGAAGAGUGGGAAUAUACAAUUUCCAACAAAGAGUGUAAAUGCACAAAAGAUGAAUAAGCUCCUUUUUUAUUUUUUAUGAAGUGCUGUUAUUUUCAUCAUGUCCUAUUUCCUCUCCUACCUUGUAAAUUUGAAAAAACAUAAUCUUAUUUUUACACCCACUAUUAUUCUUAAAAUACUCAUCCUCAAAGAGAGGCUUGGGCUUGACUUCCCAUCUCUGCAUUGCCGCCUUCAACCACGUCAAGUCCAACUCCAUCUCUGUCAUCCCCUCCUGUUCUUGCGGCUUUGUCAGUAAACUCUCUCUCUCUCUCUGGGUUUGUGUCAAAAUUUAAUUUCUAUGCCAUUAACAUUGAAUUUUUUUUUGUCUGGUGGGUUUUAUAAUCUGAUUCAUUUCUGGGUCUUUAUGACCAAGACUUUUUUCUCCAGAACUAGAAAUGGUUUGUUUCUUCCUUUUUUGUGUAUGCAUGUUGUAAUUUGCUUCAUUGGCCGAUGAUACUGUCUUCAUAUGUUGUUCAUUAUGACAGACCCACAGUGAGGUCAAUGGGAUCAAAUGACCCUAUGGACUUCAUGAAAGUAAGUUACAAGGUUCCUUUUAAUGGCCGUGUGACUCCAUAAAUGGCUGAAGGAGAUGAUCUAAGGGUGAAGAAGAUGCAGAGCGUGCUUAUGUUUUUUUUAAUUUUUAAAACAUGCUGGGCAAAACGACCAUUUUAGCCUGGCGUUUAAUAUUUUUUUUUAACACGCUGGCCAAAAUGGCGUCGUUUUGGCCUAACCUAGUGAAUUUUUUUUAAAAAGACCUGGCCAAAACGACGUCAUUUUGGUCCAAGUCUUUAAAAAAAAAAAAAAAAAAAAAGAACAGAUUCAAAGAGAACUCUCCCGACUUCAGCAUCUCCAAUCCAAAACUCCCAUUCCUAAACCCUCAAACCUAAAUCCCCAAUCUCCAUCCCCCCAAACCUUUAACCCUCUCCCCCACCAAACCUUUAAGCCCUAGCCCCAGCUCCUCCAAAAAAAUUAAACUUUUACACUAUGACCCUAUGAGAUAAGAGAUAAGAUUCCUGGAUCCGUCCCUGAUUAUGAUGAUAAAUUCAUAGGAAAAUAAAAAUGUUUUAGGGUCUUGACCCUAUGGGGAAAUUUGUUGAAAACGUCAUCUGUGGUUAUAUGUGAUUAUGGAGUGUAAGUGGAUAAAAUUGGAGUGGGGGAAAUCACCACUAAAAAAAAAAGCUAGAAAUUAUAUUUGACUCAUUUCAUAAAUUUCUUAAUAAAUAGUAAUUAAUUAUUUUAAAUUUUGUGGACUCAUUUCAUAAAACAUACUAAUGAUAAAGUAAUAAGGCAUUUAGUUUAUAAAAAAGAAAAUUUUAAAUAUGAUAUUUUGCCACGCGACAUUUCUAUAUUUUUUGAUAUUUUGUUGAUCUAAUUCUACUUUUUUUUUUUUUUUUAAGGAAUCUAAUUCUACAUUUUGGUAAAAUAUAUAAAUAGAAAAAAGUACCAACUGGUCAAAACUAGCAAAGAGUGUUUCAUUCAUUAAAAAUCAGUGAGAACACUGAGAAUUACACACCAUUUGUGGUCAUGAAUAUCAUUUCUAUUGUGGAUCCCGAAUAAAAAAACAAAACUAAGGAAUUACAGAAAAUGACCAAAGCAAAUCCCUCCCUAAACAUGGUUAUCAAGAAAGACAACCAAAACACAUCAGCACUUCAAAACCAGAAUCUUAAUUUUCCUCCUCAAGAAAGCGCAUGUGCUUGCCUUUUGGUGUUGGCAAGCCCUUCAAGCGAAGGGCACUGGGUGAAACAACAGCACCUGAAUCAGGACUCUCUGCUGAAAAGUCUUCUUCAACGAUUUCAAUGUCAUCCUCACUGUCAUACACAAAUCUUGUAUGCUUUCCAGCAAACUUGGGGAUCAUUUUCUUCUCAUCAACACAAAUGUUGUUUAUACCAUCACAAAGCUCAUCAAGAUCAUAGCCUCCAUCCUGUUCAUGUUCUUCAAUUUCAUAACCUUCAUUCAGAUUCAGAUAAUAAUCUUCUUCUUCUUCUUCUUCUUCUUCUUCUUCUUCUGCUUGAGCAACUUCUUCUUCAUCUUCAUCAUGGGUGCUAGCAUUGACCUGAAUUGACCAAAUGGAAGCACUAUCAUCAUCUGGUGAUGACUUCUCUUUGAUUUCAGUAAUCACAGAGGAGCACUCUGAUGAAACAGAGGAGACUUCAGAUUUCUCAGAGAAAUCCAGCAGCAGAGACCGGCUGAUGAUACUCUUUUGUGAUUCAAGGCUUUCUUGAUUCUUUCCCUCAAAGAUGUCACAUACUACCUAUCACAUUUUCAUAAAUAAAAAGAAAUCAGUGAUUUGCACUUUUCAUUUUGGAGGUAAAUGAUUAAAGACCCAAUCGAAAUAUUGUCACCAAAAUUCCAAAUGAAAAUAGGAGAAGAACCCACAUAUAAUCUAGUAUGAAAAAUCUUCAAACACAAAAGGGUUAGAACCCAACCUGAGAAAUCAAUUGUUCUUGGAUAAGUGGAGAAGGCUUCUCGAAACCCACACCACCAUUGUUGCUUCCACUUGCAUCAACAGAGAGAUCAGAGACCUGUGGUGUGUUUGCCGGAGUUGGGGCAAGUAGUCCCAUUGGCGAGUUACCAGUAAUUCCUUGGAGAAGACGAAGAGGGCGGCUUUCCAAUGUGAUCUUUGAGAGCUCGGCCUCUUCCUCCACUUGUUGCAAGAGGGUCUUGACUUGACCCCUCAGCAAGGCCUCUCCGGACCCAGGUGUGUUCUUGGCUCUAAAGCUUCUCUGUUUGACUAUGGCCGAUGAUGGGGUCUCCAAGCUUCCCAUUGCAAGCCCCACAAUCGGAGAAUCAUUGGUUAUAUCAAUCAGGGCUGAUCUGUCUUGCUGUUGCUUCCCAUUUCUUGGUCUUGAUUUCGAUUCAACCUUUUCAGAAUCUUCAUUCUUCCCUGAAAAAAAGAAACCAUGUAUCAGUCAGUAUAGAGAAACCAAAUCUAUGGUAAACCCAAGUAUCAAUAAACCCAUUUUCCGAUCAAAACUCUAUGAUUGUUCAUAUUGAAAAAAGGGGGAAAAUGAAAACGAAAACCAUUAAACCAAGAAACUGAUCAAGACCCAUUUUUUAUAUUCAAAAACUGACUGGUUAUUCAAAAGCAAAGAAAAGAAAAGAAAGUGAGAGAACUCACUUGAAAGGGGAAUGUUGUUGGUGUUGCUGUUUUGAGCAACCAAAGCCUGAGACCUUGUGACUCUUCUGAUUGAAGAUGGGGUCUCCAUUGGAUUUGAAUUGAGAAAUUCGAUGAAAAACGAAAUGGGUCGUCGGAAAACUGAAGGCGAAGCAAACAGUGGACGCCGAAAAUCAAAUUAUUGGAAAGCAAGAGAAAAGUCGAUAUCUUUAGGGCAGAGCUUCGGAGGUUUAUAAAGAGGGUUUGGUGAACGGGGUUCUUAAACGGGAAUGUGACCGUUGGCGCGUGCGGUUCGUCGUAUUUUGACACGUUUGCCAAAACUAGCCGUUGGAGUUUAAUUUGAAUAGCUGUGGCCUCAUCUUUUAUUUUCGAGCAAUUUAAUGGGCCUUGAGAUAGGCCUCAUCAUGAUUUGUGUAAUUAAUUUCCAAGUCUGCCCACCAAUUUGCUUCAUUAUAAUUUUUUUUUUGUUAUUUCUCGUUGAUUGGGAUUGAGAUAGGAGGAAACAUAAAGAAAUAAUAACCAAAAGAUUUUUUUUUUUUUUUGUUAUUCAAUCGAGAUUUCUUACCAAAAAGAAAUAAUAACCAAAUGCAGUUUUUUUUCCCUCCUCUUGAGCUAUUAUACAAAAUGAUAAGGUUAAUAUAUAUAAUUUUUAUAGACGUGAAUUAUGUCAGAUGGGGCCAAGACACUGUACUCACUUUCUUGCACCCUAAUUCAAUCAUCCUUCCCAUAGAAUAGUUUAGUCCACUUUGUCAAAAAGUAGAUACAAUUUUUUUUUUCUUAUGAGAUUAUACAAGUAUAACUUGAAAAUGUCAAUUUGUAUAUACAUAUAUAUAUUUUUAUAUUACAUUCUCAUACCACUUUAUGUGGCAUACGAAGUGAACAUCCGCAUCAAUUAAAAAGUGUCAAUAAAUUAUAAAUGAAAAGAAAAUGUUAAAUUAAUUUUAAUUGAUAUAGAUGUCCACAUCGUCAGUCUCAUAAGGUGGUAUGAGAAUGUAAUAUACAGUCCCCUUCUAUUGAGGGAAUUUACGAAUUUUUUUCCAACGAUCCAAACUAUCUAUUUUUUAAGUCUACAUUCAUAGAUCAUCCUUGCAAAAAAUUAGAGAAAUCGGAAACCUUUUUAACAUCCAAUUGUAUCCUACAAAAUCAAUGAACACGAUACUUCAAGAAAGUACUAAAAUUUCAACAACACAAUUGAGUGGUCAAAUAAUAUCGGAUUCAAAUAAUUUUUUGUAGAGAUGAUAUUUGAAUGAUUAUCUAAAACAUAGACGAUCCGGAUGUCCGCACGUUAUUAUCAUGCAUAUGCUAUUGUAAACAUGCAAGAAAACAGGGAGGGAUAAUACAUAAUACAAAAUACAUAAUGUCCACACAAUAAUAACAUCCGAAUGUCCGCAUAAGAGAAUUUCUGUAUAUAUAUUCUAUACAUGUCAAUAUUGCUUAUAUAUUUGUAUCCAAAGUAUUUCUCAACGGACCAUCCCAGCCCAAGAAUAGGGACGGGCCAGACUUUGACGUUCUGGUGGGUUGGGCCUGUAAGGUGGAGGUAGACUGGGAGUAGUCUGUUAAGAAGGCAAAAAACAAAAAGGAGGAAAAUAUAUUGUGUAAAGAAACGAAAAGAGAAAGUGGGAGGUUGGGAAAGAAAUGAGAAGGAUUUGGUGGCCAGGUGCGCACACAGCUAAGCGCUUAUACUUUAUUUGAUUGGAGGAAUAAGCACAGCUCAUAUUUGUGUGAACAGCCAGAUGCGUACACAAAACCAUAAAAUUUAAUUAUUUAUUGUGAUCCACUCAAGAUUUCCUGCUGAAUCGUCCUCAGUUCUCUUAAUGAGAAAUUAUAGAAUAUUAUGGUAAUAUAGUUAUAUGAUAUAUUUUGUAUACGUAUUAUAAUAUGAGUAGACGACAUGAUUUAUUUUUCUCCUUUUUAAAUAAUAGUAUUCAUAAAUAUCUAAUUAGAUUAUAACACGUAUACAAAAUGUAUCACAUAACUAUACUACUGUAGUAUUCUAUAAUUUCUCUAAUUUGAAUAAACGAAAAUUGUAUAAUAAAAUAAGAAGAUUUUCAUAGUCCGUACAUUGCAACUUGCUAGAUUGAAUUUUGAACGCUGUCGGGAUUAAUUAAGUCACUGUUAGACAAUCUCACUGCUACAUGCAUGAUUAAUAAUACCUACAAGUGGCUUAAGGAAAAAAAAAAACACCCAACAACAUGUAUAUUUUACACGUUCCUACUUCGUUACUGAAGCUCCUUACAACUUUGAGUGGUAUAGCACUUACUGUUGCACAUUAAUUCGGAUAAUAUUUCAUUUUAGUUCUAGGAAACUCUAAAUGAUAUCUGAAAUAUUUUGUAGAUUCUUUUGUAUGUAAACUGAAAAAAGUGAUAUGGAUUGAUCGUUAUGUACAUAUUAUGUCAUCGUGUUUCAAGCAGGGGCGGUCCUACACCUAGGGCAAGGGAGGCUGCUGCCUACCCCAAAAUUUUCAAAAAUAAAAAAUACCCAUAUAGAAUAGGCCAACCCAUGUGAAACAUACAAAUCAAUGCCCACCCUAAACCCAUGUGAAACAUACAAAUCAAUGCCCGCCCAAAAAGUAAGCCAUAUGUAUGCAUAACAUAAAAUUUCUCUUCUCUUUAAUUAUCUUCUCUUUAAUUUCCUACCCCAAAAUUUUAAGAUUUUGUAUAUGACAACAUUGAAUUUAAUAUAUUCUAAAUAGGUUAGAAGUUAUGUGUUCUAAUCUAUUCUAGAGUUUACUUAAAGAAUGAAUUAUAAUUUGCUGACUUUGUUGAAAUUAAUUAGGUCUUUGAUUUUUGGAAUUUUUGUUGAGAUAUUUGAUUUGAUAUUGGUAUUUUUGAGAUGUUUUGAUUUGUUGGUAUGUUAAUGUUUGAUUAAAGGAAUUGAUGUUAUUAUGAGAAUUUAUUUGAUUUUUUUUGUUGAGAUGUUGGAUUAAAUAGGUUAUCUUUUGUUAUGUCAGAUUACAAUCCGAAUCCCAAGAAAAUGAAAAAUUUAUUGGAAAUUUUUUUUAAAGAAAAAUAAUAGUUUUUUUCUCGCUAUAUUUUUAUUUAUGUAUAGAGAUGCAUUUGAGAGUAAGGCUUAUUAUGUCUUCUUACUGGGUGUAUAAUUUUAUGUUUAUUAAUAAGAUUCACUCAUAACCUCAAGUUUUUAAUGUAAGUUUGCCCAGUUGAAUUUCAAAUUCUGAAUCCGCCACUCGUUGCAAGUGAAGUUGCUUUGUCAAGGUGUUAUAUGAGAAAAACUACAUCAUCUAACAAAUAAAAUACUCAUCGAACAACAAACAAACUCUAAAAUAAUAAUAAUAAUAAUAAUACUUUUUAUUAUAAGAAUGAAUACAAAAAAGAAAGCUUUUAUUUUACAAUUCAAUUCAUUUCUCAAUAAAGAGAUAAUUAACAAGUGUGUGAACUUUAUUCUGGUGGAAAACAACCCAUAUUUAUAGAUAUAUGGGAUUUUUUGAAAUGAAAUGAUUAAUGGAAUUAAUUAAGGGCAUUUUCGGGUUUGAUUGCGGGUGGUGAGGCUAGCAUAGCAAGGACAAGCCUCAUAGUUGCCAGCAGUGCCUGGAGGAACACAGCUACACUUGUCACAGCAACUCCCACAAGCCCUUUUGCACAGACGAGGCCUUGAUGAUAAUUUGCACCUUCCUUCACAUGCCACUCCGCAAUCUGCACGAUUAUUUUCAUCAUUUGCAUAAUAACAUAUAUUAAUUUCGUAUAAAUUAAUAUACAUAUUUACGUUAUUAUCGUACGAACGUCACGUAUUUUUUAUUACCUUCUAUACAGACGUUCGCAUAGAAGAAGAAUUUAUAUACAGAUUUUCUGUUAUGUAUUAUCAAAUCGUAAUAUACAUACCUAGGGUGGGCGGGGGUAGGGGGCUCGGUGCUCCAUUGUUGUUCAUCUGAAAAUAGUGUAAAGCACAAAAGUUAAAAAAAAACUUGAACCCAAAAAAAAAGAAAAAAAAAAAGAAAAGGAGACAUGGAUAUUACCAUGUGGGACUGAUGAGCUGCUUCAGUGAGAUAUUGGAGAACCAGAAAAGAGAAAACAAGGGAAGCCAUCAUCAGGGUUAAUCUUGAUGACAAGGCCAUAUUAAUUAUAUUUAUAUAGAAAAUAGCUAUAGCUAUAGCAGCUAGUAGAGAGAGAAGAUAAUUGGGAUGUUGUGAAAUGAGAGAGAGAUCGGAGUGAGUAUUUAUAGAGAGAUUGAUCAGAAAAGAGGGGGCGGGGUGGUGCAUGGAGUGGCAGUAGGGCGCAUGCCUGUCUCCCUAAUAAUAUAUUGCCACUAGACCAUUAUAUUAUUUUAUUUUAUUUAUGCUAAUUUUCAGUCCAAAGGGGUCUCAGCCGAAGUCAAACUGCCAGACUGCUCCCAACUCAUCAUAUUCAAGAUUAGGGGAGAGAGAGAAAGAGAGAGAGAGAGAUGUGUAUGGAUUAUGAUUGGCAAUAUUGGAGAGGAGUGGUUAAUAUUAUUGGAACACCGACAACUCAUAACUUGUGAAGUUGACAAGAAAGGAAGAAGCUGAGAAGAAAUGUUGUAUUCAAAAUGCAUCGACAGACGGGUGGAUAGUGAUAUCGACAGACGAGUGGAGCUGUUCUACAAUUCAACUUUGUUUCCCAAUCCCCGGUGCCAAAAGCAAAUGAAACAAUACUACUGUAAUACUUUGUAUAUAUAAGCUAGCUCCUCACACAGCACUUGAAGUCGUUGCUGCUUAUAUAAUUUAAAUCCGUAAACUCGUAAGUUUGUAACUCAAGUGAUUAACAACAUUUACGCUUUUCCUUAAUGAAAUCAUUGCUGCUUCUAUAAUUUAAACCGAUAAACUCCUAAGUUUGUAACUCAAAUGAUUGUGGGUCAACUCACUCUACAGAAAUUUGAUGUCGGCACUGUUUGACUUUGCUGUGUGAAACAUAUAUGGGCCAGCCCACUAUACUGAUCUUUUCUGCUUUUCUGCUUUUCUGCUCUGUUAUUGCUCAUACAUAGUGGGCCUCUUGUAAAAGCCCUGUUCUGUGGUGGAGAAAAGACACACAGGAAAGAUGUGGCCAAUUUUUGUUUGUCUGCUUUUAUUUUGAAUACAAGAAUAUUAAUCUAAUCUAAAUUAUGAGAAGGGGACGUUCUAACUAACUUGAGUAUGCCUAAAUAUAAUAUAUAUAUAUUUAUAUAAUGGUCCUAGUGGCAAUAUAUUUUAGUGUUUGCUUAUUAGAGAGAGCAUAAUAAAUUUAUACCUCAAAUUCAUGUGUUGUUAGGUCUUUACCAACUUUAUUUGAGAGUUUGAAUAAAUUAUUCGCUACCUAAAAGAGCUUGUUACUCUAACAAACCCUUCAAACUUUAUUGCUCACUCUUUAGACUAUGUAUACGUAUUAUAUUAUUAUUAUCACACUCUAAUUUUAUUCUUUGAUUUUUUAGAUAUCACAUCAAAAGAGCUUUCCUUCUUUUUUUCUUUUUUUCUUUUUCUUUUUCUAAUGAAAAAGUGACAUGCGGAUGCGGGGUCUAUAUUAUGUGGUGCCGUUUUAUCAGCAAAUUUGUUAUGGGUUGGUCUGGGUUGGGGCUAGCUAGAAUUCUAGGUGGCACAGUGACUAAAAUGAACCGUGGAAUUUGAGUUUGCAUUGUUUUGAUAUCUUGUUUAUUAUAGAUUUAGGCCGAAUUUUAUCAUGAAAUAUUAUUUGUGAUUUCUGAGUUCAUCCCACCUGAUAGCCAAAAACAACAAAUUAGGAAUUGAGCUGCUUGGUUGAUUAUUUGCUUUGAACCCUUUUAUAUAAGAAGAACUCUUUAAGGGCUCGUUUAGUAUAUUGGAUUAUUUGCUUUGAACCCUUAAAAUAUAUAUAUAUAAAAAGGAAACAUCGAACACUUUCUACUCCUCACCUAUCGUUCUUAAAUAAAAAAUAAAAAAUUUAUCCUCCAAAAAAAGUACUUUCUUCAUUCAAAACAAAACAAAAAAAACCUCAUGACUUCUUCUUUCUCUUAAACUCUGAUUUUCGGACCACCAAAAAGUAAGUUAGCAAAUGAGGGAUAUAAAGAUUGGAUACAUCUUAGUGGCUGACUUAAAGAGCAUGAGACAAGUAUUGAACAUAUCAAUCAUAUGAGCACUUGGAUUGAUUUUCGUAUUAUAUUGCAAGAAAAAAAAAAACAAUUGAUGGAGUUGUUCAAAACCGAAUCAAGAAAGAGAAAGAGCAUUGGAGGAACUUAUUAAAAAUAUUAAUUUCAAUUGUGAAAUAUCUCGGAAAAUAUAGUUUGGCUUUUCGUGCAAGUAAUGAGAAGAUCCACGAUAUUAACAAUAGAAAUUGUAAAGGAGCCACUAGUAUAGUGGUUUGGAAUAUUUACUCCCUCAAGCAAGGUUCGAGUCCUAGCAUCCGUGUUUUGUGUGUAAGUUUAAUAUGUUAUCGCCCCUUUCAAUAGGAAAGGUCCUCAAAAAAAAAUAAAAAAAUAAAAAAAUUUAUAGGGCAAGUUGAAAUAAUUGCAGAGUGGGAUCCAGUUAUGAAGAGCAUGUUCGACGUAUGGAUGAUAAAGAGACUCAUUAUCUUAGCUAUAAGAUUCAAAAUGAAUUGGUAUAUUUGUUAGCUUUUGAACUCAAAAGUGCAAUCAUUAAAAAGAUUUAAGAAACUAGAUAUUUUUCUAUGAUUCUUGAUUGUACUCCAGAUGCUAGCAACCAAGAACAAGCGAGUUUGAUAGUAAGAUGUGUGGAUGUUUCUACUAAUCCAAUAAAGGUUGAAGAAUUUUUUUGAAAUUUUGGAUUGUGAUUGAUGCAACAGGACAAGGACAUUUUGAAAAGUCGCAACUUGAUAUUGAUAAUGUGAAAGGACAAAGUUAUGACAAUGGAUCAAAUAUGAGUGGGAAAUACCAAGGUGUCCAAAGAAAACUUUUGGAUGUAAAUCCUAGAGCAUUGUACACACCUUAUGGUUGUCAAAGUCUUAACUUAACACUUUGUGAUAUUACAAACUCUUGUGGAAAAGCGAAAGGCUUUUUUGUAGUCAAACAACGUAUUUAUACAUUGUUUGUUGAUUCUACAAAUCGGUGGAAGAUGUUGAAAGAUAAUAUUAAACACUUAACUCUGAAAUCGUUGUCAGUUACAUGUUGGGAAAGUCGUAUUGAAAGUGUAAGAGCAAUAAGAUUCCAAGCUCCAUAUUUAAGAGAAGCUUUACUUCAGCUAGCAGAAAGUGGCGGUGACUCCAAAAUAACAAGUGAAGCUAAUUCUUUGGCAACAUAUGAACUUGAAAAUUUUGAGUUCUUAUUGGGGAUGGUUAUUUGUUAUGAUAUAUUAGGUGCUGUCAAUGUAGUUAGCAAAAACUUACAAUCUGUAGAUAUGCUUAUUGAUGUUGCUAUUGAUAAAGUGAAAGGGUUGAUUACUUUUUUUUGAAAAGCAUAGAGAAAAUGGGUUUACAAAAGCUAUGUGUACUGCUAACGAAAUUGCUACUAACAUGGGAAUUGACCCGGUGUUUCCUGAGAAGCGAAAAAGUUCGUAGAAAAAAAUAUUUUGAUGAGACUACUGGUGAGCCAUCCCAAUCAGUUCCUGAAUCAAAUGAAGAAAUGUUUAGAAUUGAUUAUUUCUUAUAUGUAGUGAAUUAAGCUAUUGGUUCUUUACAAAGAAGAUUUCAACAAUAUCAAGAGUAUGAUAAUAUUUUUGGGUUUUUGUUUACUUCAGAGAAGUUAAAUUCAUUGGAUGACUGCGAUUUGAAGAAUUAUUGCAGUCAUCUAGAAAGUAUUUUGAAAAAUGAUAAGUUUUCUGAUGUCGAUGAGGAGGAUUUAUUUGUUGAGUUGAAAGUUUUACGGAGGGUUUUACUAAAAGAAAAUAUCACAGCUACUGCAAUAUUAAAUUUCUUGAAAAGAUUAAAUUUUUUUCCAAAUGCAUUCAUUGCAUACAGAUAUCUAUUGACUAUGAAUGUUACUCUUGCAUCUGCAGAAAAAAGUUUUUCAAAAUUAAAAUUAUUAAAAUCAUACUUGCGAUCAACUAUGUCGCAAGAAAUAUUAAACGGACUAGCUUUGAUUUCAAUUGAAAGUGAACUUCUAGAAAAAGUUGAUUAUGAACCUUUGAUUGAUGAUUUCUCUUCUAAAAAUUCAAGAAGAUCAAUUUUCAGACAUUAGGAUUGUAAUGGCUGUGUUUUUUUUUUUUUCUUUUGGGGAAAAAGCUCUUGUAAUAGUUUUAAUUCUUCAAAUAAAGAUAGCAAAUACAAUGUGAAUGAUUUUUUGGUAGUCAGGUAUGUUUUUGUUGUUGCUUUUGUAUUUAAUGCAAUAUAAUCUAAUUUGUUAAUGACAUAUGUAUGCAACUACUCUUUAAUUUGUGAUUGCCAAAUUUUUUAAUUAAACAAAUUGCUUAUUGGAGACAGAAAGGACCUUAUAGGGGCACAAGGAGAUUAUUUUUGUACCAAACAUUUAACCUUAUCAAAUGAAAAUAUUUAAAUUUUUAUGAAUUUGAUUUCUAAUUGUCAUUACAUAUUUAUUGAUGGUGACUUUUAGUUAUAAAAAAAUUGUUUAUGACAUUAAGUUAGGACAAAUUUUUAUUUAUAGUAUUUUCGUAUUAGAUUAUGUGAGGCUCCAAUUUAAAUUUCGCAUGGAGCCCUUAAAAUUUCAGAGACAACCCUGUUCGCAGGAAAAAAAAGUAUCUCCUUACCAGUAAGAAGACAAGCAAUAUCCAUCAAGUAAUGACACUUUGGUGAGUCAAAGUGGGGUUCCGUCCAAGGAAUGACAGUCAAAACAAUAGCUUAAAAGGCAAUGGAAUAGCAAUACUUACAUGGAAAUCCAGCUACCUAUGAUAUUCAAAGAGAAAGCGCACUCCUCUAUUUAUUCUCACAAGAAGAAGAGCUAGUGAAAUGGACCAUUUCUUCAUGUUAGCAGAGGAAAGAAAAGAGGCCCACUGUGAGAAGAGAGAGUAAUUCAGUUGCUAACAAGCGCAGGUUUUUCGUUAAAUGGUUGGUGACUGACUGGUGGGUGAGAAGUGGGACAAAACCAAAGUCAUAUAUCAUGAUUCAUCAUGACCACCAUUGCAAUAUUAUUGUAUGUAACACAACAAAGUGGUGGGUAGGCACGUGCAUGGCUAGCUCAUACAUACUAUUACAUACAUAAGAGUCUUAUGACAACACUAGUUAGGUGAAGAUCACGUGACGCGACUUCAGCCCACACAACCUGUUGCUUUUUCUCAAUUCUAAUUCUUCAAUUAAAUCUUCUUUUCAUAUAUUUUAUUAUAUUUAGUUUAGUUUAUCAAGUGGCGGUCAAAUCUUCCCAUCGGAUUUUAUGUUCUCUUGCUCCAUUUUCCACUUUUGUCAGCUGAAUGCUCAACCAAUCUACUCCCAAUGGUUUGAUUGACCACACCAAAAUCCCCUUUCCCUUGCUCCUCUGUGAACGGAACUUGCACAUCUGCUGAAAAAUUCUUGAGUUUACAGACGUAUAUAAUUAAGAUGUCGCCAAAAAAGUUUUACUCAUAAUUAUUAUUUAUUAUUAGAAUGGCUCCCUUUAUAAUUUCCGUAAAAAACUCAAUACAAAAUUGGCUACACAGCCAUCAUUGCAUUUAAUAUUUACCCCCAAGAAAGAUUGUGACAUUCUAUUUCGGUCCAAGGCCUUGUAUGGUUUGUACAAGUGACGCGAUGCAUGAUUUUUAAAACAACUCCAAAUCUCCAUACAUGGACGCAUCAAAUUACUUUAUAUACAUAUAAUAAAAUGAAUUAAUUUGUACAAAAUUCUUCUGAAAUUAUGUACAAUCUGUGUGCUUGAAACCUCCUAAUAAAAAAAUUAAAACAAAGAAAGCCAAAAGGGUUUGGUAGCUGUGCAGCUAAUGAGACUGUAAGAGCUCACUCACGAGCCAUGAGGUAGUUGGAGCGGUCCCCUUAAUUUUAACACUUAAAAACUCAAUUUUUAUUUUUUUUGUCAAUAAAAACUCAAUAUAUAAAUCACACGCCCUAAACAACAAUUUAAACAUCAAAUUCCUUUUCUCUCCAACACCAAAACCACACAAACAAACAGACCUAACACAUUGAACAAGCAUGGCUCCUGCUACUACUCUCACCUCCAUAGCAGGGGAGAAAACCCUGCAACAAAAAUUUGUCCGGGACGAAGAUGAGCGCCCCAAGGUUGCCUACAACAACUUCAGCAAUGAAAUCCCGAUCAUUUCGCUUGCCGGGAUCGACGAGGUGGAAGGCCGCCGGGCUGAUAUUUGCAAGAAGAUUGUGGAGGCUUGUGAGGAUUGGGGUAUUUUCCAGAUUGUUGAUCAUGGAGUUGAUACCAAGCUCAUCUCGGAAAUGACCGGUCUCGCCAGAGAGUUCUUCGCUCUGCCCUCGGAGGAGAAGCUUCGUUUUGACAUGUCCGGCGGCAAAAAGGGUGGUUUCAUCGUCUCCAGCCAUUUACAGGUAACCCAAAAUAGAAUUCACGAAUCACAACUCCGAGUCUCUUGCUUUGAUUGAUACCAUAAUAGAAAAAAAAAAAAAAUAUAUAUAUAUAUAUAUAUAUAUAUAUAGACGGAAGAUUAAUUUUUAUUUUAAACACGUAGUUUAUUACUGUUUUUGAAAACUUAAGCCAUUGAAUUAUGAUUUUAGGUUUUAAUAAGAUUUUUGAAAGCUGAAGCUGUUAGAACAUGAACGGGUCAUUGUUUUAUAUUGUAACACAUUUGGACUAUAAUUUUAGGGAGAAGCUGUGCAAGAUUGGCGCGAAAUUGUGACAUACUUCUCAUACCCAAUCCGGCACCGGGACUAUUCGAGGUGGCCGGACAAGCCGGAAGGAUGGAGAGAGGUGACACAGAAGUACAGCGACGAGCUGAUGGGGCUGGCAUGCAAGCUUUUGGGGGUGUUAUCAGAAGCCAUGGGACUGGACACAGAGGCAUUGACAAAGGCGUGUGUAGACAUGGACCAAAAAGUUGUGGUCAAUUUCUACCCAAAAUGCCCCCAACCCGACCUCACCCUUGGCCUGAAGCGCCACACUGACCCAGGCACAAUUACCCUUUUGCUCCAAGACCAGGUUGGUGGCCUCCAGGCUACCAGGGAUGAUGGGAAGACGUGGAUCACCGUUCAACCAGUGGAAGGAGCCUUCGUGGUCAAUCUUGGGGACCAUGGUCAUGUGAGUAUUUAUGAUUUACAUUGUCACUUAAAUCGAAUUAAUUAUAUUAUACAUAAUUUACUGUCACAUUAUAAUGUAGAUAUGAGUUACGUCAAUUUGAUCUACUUUUUCGUACGUUAUCAUGGUGGUAGGCAGUGGUCAUUUUAUUUAUGUGAAUAAUGGUGAUAGGGACCUAUGUUUAUAUCUUCCUUAUAUUUAGUAGUUUGUUGAAAUAUUGAUUAUGAAACAAUGAAAAUGACACGUGUACAAUUGCGCGUGUUGUUGGGAGUCCAAUGUAACAUAAGAAAAUGUAUAUUGUUUAUUUUCGCACGCAUAUAUAAUUAGAAAUCACUCACAUCCGCAUAAACGAGUAACAUUCUUUUAUUAGUAUUCAUUUCUCUGAAUUAAUUUAUAGCAUUUAUGGAAAAUAAAAUCACGGGUUUGAGUCAAUUUAAUUGAUUGGUUUUGUACACAAUUGUAAUGUGAGCAGUUUCUGAGCAAUGGGAGGUUCAAGAAUGCUGAUCACCAAGCAGUUGUGAACUCAAACAGCAGCAGGCUGUCCAUAGCCACAUUCCAAAACCCAGCUCAAGAAGCUACAGUCUACCCACUGAGCAUCAGAGAGGGAGAGAAGCCCAUUCUAGAGGGGCCAAUCACCUACACAGAGAUGUACAAGAAGAAGAUGACCAAGGACCUUGAGCUUGCCAGGCUCAAAAAGCUGGCCAAGGAGCAACAAUUGCAGGACUCGGAGAAGGAGGGCAAGCCAAAGGAUGAUAUUUUUGCUUAGCCACCUCAGUUUCUCUCAAAGCUUGCUCUUGUUAUGCUACUGGAUACUUGUACCUUUGCCGUCUAGUUCUUCUAUGUGCUUAGCCAGUGGAUGAUAUUUUUGCUUAGCCACCUCAGUUUCUCUCAAGGCUUGCUCGUGUUAUGCUACUGGAUACUUGUACCUUUGCCUUCUAGUUCUUCUAUGUGCUUAUAUAUGCAAUUUGCUUAAUUUGUGUGUUUUGGGGCGUUGGAAAAGUUUGGUCAAUUUGUGAGUCAAUUUGUGAGUCAUAUUUUAUGUUAAAUUAAUAGAAAAAUAAUUUCUACUAAGCACAUGCUCUAUAAAAUUAUUAGAGCAGUGAGCUCGCUCCUUUAGGCCAUCUCCAGUCAUAAGGCUAAAUGUAGACCAUAGCUAAAAAUUUGGCCCUUCAAAAUAUUAAUUUUUUUUAAAAUAGUACAGGGCUAAAUUUUUUCAUCUCAAGCCAUGCAGGGCUAUAUUUUUGGGUUCUUCUUAUUUUAUUAUUUUGAGAAAAACUACGGUACAACACUCAUACAUUCCAUGUAUAACAAGAUUUCUGAUAAGAUUUUGUGUCCACAUGACACGUCUUAUCCUGAAUGAAUCUUAAUAAUUUUUCGGGCUACGAUUUUUGAGUGACACGUGUUGAAUUUUUUAUAAUUUUUUCUUAAAUAACACAAAUUGAAACAUUUGAAACAUUUGAAACAUUUAAAAAGUAUGUGUGAAAACAUGAAUUGAAAACAUUUUAAACAUUUUAAACAUAAUUGAAAACAUUUUAAACAUUUUAAACAUGAAUUGCAAAUAUUUUAAACAUUUUAAAACAUUUAAAACAUGAAUUGAAAACAUUUUAAACAUGUUAAACAAGAAUUGAAAACAUUUUAAACAUUUUAAAACAUUGAAAACAUAAUUUUUCGGGCUCCAACAGUCAUGACUAGUAAUUUUUUAUAAUUUUUUCUUAAAUAACACGAAUUGAAAAUAUUUAAAAAGGUGACCACACUUUUUUUUUAAAAUUUAAAAAAGGAUGGGUUUCAAUGGUCUGUGACCUCCAACGGUUAUGACCAUUAAUUUUUUUUAUAAAUUUUUCUUAAACAACAUGAAUUGAAAAUAUUUAAAAAGGCUUUUAUAUAUAUAUAUAUAUAGCUGACGUUAUCGAUGACGUAAGCACUUUUAAUAUUGGCUAUUGGAUAUGCUCACACUUGAUGAUUUAUCUUCUUCAAAAGCAUAUGCAUGGGGUUCACAAAAAAUUUAGCCUAGGCCAAAGUUGGGCUAUGUGGCCCAGUUAGAGGGCUAAAGGGCCAAAUGUGGCCCUCCAAAUUUGACCACAAUUUUGUUUAACUUAUAAUUGAACAUAAAUUUUGUAUUAUUUUAAGGCUAUAUUUGAAAUAUACCCCAUAACUAGAGAUGUUCUUAUACUAAGUUCGAACUCACCCCAACUACAAAGCCAACAGGCCCCAUCAUUAACUAAUGCGGAGAAGAUGUAGUAUAGUGAUAAUUAAAUGAAGGUACUGGCGGAUCAGGAACUUUUUUGUGAUGGAAGGGUGGUGAGGUUUUGGAGAGAGAGAGAGAGAGAGAGAGAGAGAGAGGCGGUCAUAGUGCAUGGUGGGGUUUUGGCUUGGAGAGGAAUAAUGGUGAUAAUUUGGGUAGGGGUUUAGCGAAAGUUGGGGGACCACUUCAAUCAAUAACUCAAUUGAUAAUAAAAUAUCUUUAUAAUUUAAACAAUAUCAAUGUCAUUUAUAAGUUAUAGAAAGAAUAGCAUUACAAUUAACUUAUAAUUAUUGCCGAUGAUGUUUUAUAUCAUGAAAAUGUUGCCUUAUCAAAAAAUUGAAAUUGGCAUUUGCUAAAUAAGAAGGAAAAAAAAAAAAAAAACCAUGAUACUUAUUUUGAAUUGCCGUUUGAUCAAGAAGAAAAAUAGAGCGGCACUACCAGACCUAAAUUUGCAGGUUGGAUGGCAAUCUUUUAUAAGAAGUUGGUUUUUUAAUUAUAUAUAUAUAUAUAAUUUUAAAUCUGUUUAAAAAAAUUGAAUAAAGCCUUUGCAGCCCACGAAUUGCAACCCUUUUUAAUCUGUUUAUAAUCAAUCCUUUUUUAAAAGCCUUUGCAUUGCAUACCUUGGGUUGGACUCGGAUUAAAAUGCUACUAACAAAUCCAGCUUGUACUAGCUUGGAGCUGACUUAUGGGUUGGACAUGAGUCGUGACCCAAUCACAGCCCAUAUAAUCCAUGUAAGGAUUAUAGCGGGAAAAACUCACACAUAAAAACAGAAAAAACCAAACCAAAACAAAAUAAAAAGACAAACAUAACCCAGUAAGCUUCUUUAUAGCAGGAAAAUCUAGUUACCAAAGGUCUUUAAAAAAUUGCCAAUGAGGGUUGGUUGAGUUGGUAAGGAUCGUUCUCUUCGCUAUUAAAGUCUAGAUUCAAGUUCCGCUGCCGACAAUCCCUCUUAGUGAGUAAUCUGUAAAAACUAAAAAAAGAGCUAAGAUUCCCUAGAUUUUUUAUCAUAAAAAACGAAGUCUUUAAAAAGUCACGAGCUAAAACUUUUUUUUGGGUCCAUUGAGAACCAAGUAUUGUAUCUAAAAAGUUUAAAUCACAUGCUAAAUUUGUGAAGCGCACGCACCAUCACACAUUACAAACUCAUCUUUUCUUGAGAUCGGUGUUGGAUUGGACCUUGUCAAAGUGUAACUUUAAUUUCUCUAUUUACAAUUGUUCGUAGGAAUCUCUUUCAGAUAAUUUAUCACAAACACCAAAAAAUAAAAAAAAUAAAAAUCAUAAUUGAAUUUCAAAACUCAUAAUGACAUCUCUAAAUUCAAUAUUAAAGAAUUGUAAACUUGCUAUAAUAAUAUUAAAGAUGCAUUUGGCGCUUAAUUAAUUUUGUCUCCUAAUUAGUUUCAGUGGUGUGUGAAUGAGAUUAGGCUUUUUAUAGAAUUUGGUGAUGAAAGCCGCAUAUUAAAAAAGUAGGAGAUUCUCCAAUCUCCUUCCCAAAGCCAAACACAAAAGCUAUGUGAAAGCCAACGACACACGCAUGUACAUGUUUAUAUUGUAUAUAUGUCGAUCGUUUCAAAUUUUGAAGUGGAGACUGGAGAGUGAGACUUACAACAAGUCUUGUUACUUGACUUAAUUUCUAGGCUGAUAAAGUUUCUAAUUAACCAACUGUAAAAUUUCCUAUUUUUACUUUAACAUACGGAAUUCGCAUUUUAUUGUAGGGGAAAAUAUUUGAAUUUAUUUUUUUGGUCGAAAGGGGAUAUUCAAUAAAACUAGAACUUCACUCAAAACGGAGAGAGCACAGAAUUACAAAAUAAGCAACUCAGUAAAAAAGCAUAGCAGAACAACUUCGAGUAAACCUAAUCGAAUCGCUUUAUCUAAUUAUUAGAGAGUUUGAUUGACCUAAUAAUGAGCAGAUUUUAAGUUUAAAAAAUCAUAAAUUGCUAUGUACAAAUUGACUUACAGGUUGUAACUAAAAUUAAAAAAUAAACUUAAUUUUAAAUUAACAUGACCGAACUUAAUUUUGAGUUAACGUGAUCAGACAACCUGACUCAAUUUUUUCUUGAACUGUUGUGGAUAGUUAAGAAGAUGCAUAUACAGAAUGCCACGUGCACCACCGGCACAUCACUGCUUGAUUGCGUGUGUUUGUCCACAUCCACAUGUACAAAUAUUUUACGGGGCGCUAGCAAACCUCCAAUAAAAGGCGAUUGGUUUGCUUUGCUUUGCCUUUAUAAUAUUGUGAGUGCGAAAAAAAACCAAAUUGUUGUGUUCAUACUGCCAAAAGUCCUUACUUCUUCAGUUGAAAAUUGUUUACUUUUUUUGUUUUGCCUUUAUCACUCCGCAAAAGUUGAAAAGUGUUUUUGAGAAUUAUUGGUUUGACUACGGCCCAGGCCAAUGCACACAUAUGCUUGCUGGUCAAAAUAAAAUAAAUAUAAAGAAAUAAAUAGAGCUUAUAUGAUAACAAAACUCAUUUUUUUUAAAAAAAAUGUGAAGAAAAAUAAUACUAAACUAAUUUCCAGCUGAUUCUAACAAAUUAGAUCAUUAAUAAAAAGAAAAUUAUUUUCAUAGAUUAAAACCGAAGUUUACUUUAGUCGAUUUCAUGAGUAACAUAUCAAAUUCCAUCAAUCGAAUCGCUUAAAGGAAUUCUUGGUUUCAUACAUACAUUGAAAUCCAAGUCUAUUUUAGUAAGUCAAAGUUUUAUUUUUAUUUUUAUUUGUGUCAUGUCUCAAUAUUUUCUUACCAGUUUUCAGGAGUAUAUACUUAACGGUGCCAUAUUUAUUCCUAUUGUCUGUAACAAUAUUUAAAGAAUGUUAAUUAAAUUCCAUGUGUUAAGAUUUGAAUAACCUGUAUUUUGGAUUCAAUAUUCAAUGUGAAGACUUUUCUUUUUGAUAAACUGCAUUUUUUAUUUUUUGUUUUUGUUUUUUGUUUUGGUUAGUGGCAAGAGCACUAGAUCAUCCAUCCAUUCAAUUGACUAUGUCAUACACCAGAUAUAAUUUAAAAACUCAGGAUAAUCCUCCAACCAACCAACCAAACAAGAAAUCAUUUAUUUAGUUUUCAAAGUAAUAUGACUUUUUUUGGCUAACGUUCUCUGGGGUGUUAAUUAUAUCAAUUAUUUCGUCAAAUUAAGGGUUAUUUUCGUCUAUCUAAAGUUAGGAUUUACUUUGACCCAUAUUCACUAUGGCCCUUGUCUCAUAAUUAUCCCUUCAACUAUUUCUGAUAAACUAGAUCCCAACCCAGUGCUCAUGCCUAUUUGUGACAAAUUGACAUUUGAGAGUUUAUUCGCAUGAAACUAAAGUUUAAGAAACCUAACAAAAGACUCACUAGUGUAGUGGUAUAGAGUAUUUAUUUUCUCAGACAAAGUCCUGACAUCCGUGUAGUGUGUGUGAGUUUAGUAUGCUAUCGUUCCUCUCAAUAAGAAAUGUCCUGAAAAAAAAACAAAAAAACGUUAAAGGAAGCUCAAAUAUUACACAUUCACAUUUGAGUUUUUGGAGAUGUCCAAAGACCAAGUCCACACACAAAACAAGUCUGACGCCGACUUUAUCAAGUCUCCAUGCUCACUGUCACAGGCUCACUCACACCCUUCACACCAUUGCUAAUUACAGUUUUGCCCCCACAAUUUUCUCAAUUAAUUAUGAAUUUUUAUUUUUUACUUUGAUCAAAAUCAGUUUCAAAUUUGAGUGGGUCAAGCCAUGUAUGCAAUUUUCUACUUCUCACAAGUAAAUUAUGAAAGCACUUUUUGAAAUUGCGGUCUUAAACCAAUUUUCUUCCAACACAUGCACAAGAAUGUUUGCGCCUUUACCCCAUUUUUAUUCAAAGCAACAAGUAUUAAAUAUACAUUGGUCACACAUUUAAAGUAGGUUUAAAUGUGAAAAUGGUCUCUAUGUUUUACUUAUUUGGUCAAUUUAAUUUUUGUGUUUUUAAUUUGACUAAUUUAGUUCUUGUAUUUUACUGCGUUAGUCAAUAUUAGUUUCCUCUUCCUUUCCUGCUCGAUUCUUUUUUAUCUAUUAAUCAUUGUGAUGUUAAAAUUGAUCUUUUAUUUUUAAAUUAAAAUUUUAUGUUUCCUAAAUAAUUAGAGAUUUUUUAUUGGUUUAAAUAAUAUUUAGAAAUUCUUUCACUAUCCGCAUUCAUUAUGGAACGUUGCACUCCUUGACUAUAAUGGCUUACAACAACUGUUUUUUGAUACAUGGGUUAUGCAGACAAGAAAACCGAGGCGGGGGGGUUAGAGAGACAGAGACAGAGAGAGUGGCGGUGGUGACUGGGACUGCUGAUGUUGGCUAUGGUAGUGGUGGUGGUGGCGGUAGCAUGGGAGAAGAUGACAUAGAGGUUUGUUGGGUUUCUAGAUUUUUUUAUUUAUAUUUUAUUAUUUUAUUUGUAAACCUAACUCAAUAAAAAAAUUAUUAAUUUUUUUAACGGUAGUUUGAUAAAAUGAACAAUAUUAAUUAACGAAAUAAAACACAAAGACUUAAUUGUCCAAAUUAAAAUUAAAAACCAAAGUGACUAAAUAAACCUUUAAAGUAACAGACUGUUAAUUUGAUUUUUGCAGGGUGUUCGAUACAUUAUCGACUUUGUCAAUGCAACUUUUUUAUAAAAAAAAUUUAAAACAAAGGAUGAACGCCCCCCCUGCAUAGAAAAUUCUUGACGAGUCAUAUGCAUGAGACAAAUAGUAUAUUAUACCAUAAAACUACCCCAAGUUUGUAGUAGACAGACAUGUACCCCAUCAUGGUCCCUAUAAAAAGUCAUUGUCGCAAUAAUAACCACAUAAAAUAAAAUAUAAUUUUAGGCAAUAAUUGAGGGGAGACCAACAACCAAUGAUCCUUGUUAGAACAUGAAUUUAAAAAAAUAUAUAUAAGCGAUAUUUUAACCUAAUUUAAACUAUAGAGAAAGAGAUUCAAACUCGGGUACAGAGUGUAGAGCACAUCCCUUCUAACCAACUUAGCUAAAAACAUGACCAUUUGAACUCAGACCUUUUAAUUUCAAGAUAACCCUUUGUUAAUUACAAAUCAACCGAUGUUGAGGUGAAGUAUAGAUAAUGUGGCCAAGGUGGCUGCUUAAUUACAAACAUACAUUUAAAUUUGUUUUGACAAUAUUGUUUAUAAACUUAUAUUCGAAAAUUGGAAUCUUUAGGAUUCAAGACACAAUUAGUUUGGCUAAGUUUAUAUAAAUUGUCUCGGUCAAACAAUUUUAUAUAGUUUACAUGAAACAUUUCCAUGAGCUUCAUUAUCCGACUUGCCAUGCCGUCAAGGUCAGGCUCCCAUCAAGUUAAUACUUUUUGUGGCCUUUGAAUCUCAGCCACAGACAGUCGUCUCAUUUUUUUCUCUGGAUUCGUCUGCCCUUUCAGUGAGGGAACCUAGCUAACUAUGGCUGAGAUUCAUUGCCCUAUAUGCAUUGAUUUCUGUCACGAAAAAAAAUACUUGUGUUCAGCUACUGCAACCUACUACAUUUGGAGCAAAAGAAAAAAAAAAUGCACGAGUCGAGGAGGGUUUGACUAGAGUAAGUAAAUAGCUCGAUUAAUAGGUCAAGGAUUCAAUUUUCCUCUCAUACGAAAAAGAAAAAGAAAAAUCAAUGCAUAUGUUGUCUUUUCUCAUUGAGAAUACUCAACUUAAUUACCCUAAGCUAUUAUUUGGCCAUCAUUUU